This 70957-nucleotide long non-coding RNA is filed under the name Citrus maxima (pomelo). RNAcentral's name for it is "long non-coding RNA (CMAX_LNC003344)". Lineage: Eukaryota; Viridiplantae; Streptophyta; Magnoliopsida; Sapindales; Rutaceae. The record is from RNAcentral.
GUUGCAGAAGCUGCACCUCCACUCGGGAGGUUGUUAUCAAUUUAUCACUCUGCUUUCGUGGAGGGAGUUCAAACGGACUUCAAGAUUGAACCAUCGUUUGGAGUUGAAGCCUCGCAGCUUUAUCCUGAUGUCAAGUACACUACAGUUGAUGAGUACCUCAAUCAGUUUGUGUAACCCUUCUCUGCUUCCAGCUGCAGCUUGCAGGAUCUUGGACUCUGGGUAAAUAAAUAAUGGGCUUGUUGCAAUCUUUGGUUUUUAUAUGUAAAAAUUAUGGUUGUUGGCCUUACUUUCUUCUGGUUGUCAAUGGAAUUUGUAAGACCAUUUUAUGUUUGCUAUGUCAGUGAUCAAAUGAAGUAGGCCAUGUACUUGAUCUGAGAAUAAUUAUAAAGCCAACAUGGUCAGGUGAGUGCGUCUGUGGGGCUUUUAUUAGGGUGCGUGUGUGAGGCUUCUGAGGGGCUUGUGAUAUGGGGUCUACAGCCCCUAAUGGGCACGCGACUGCGUGCACUAAAUGAAGUUAUUAUAAAAAUAAUUAUAGAGUCACCAAGGCAAAAAUUAAAAGUAAUUUGCCAAUAAAAAUAGUUAAAAGUAAUAAAAAGUAGGUAUUAUAUUUCAAAAAUCAAUUUUUCAUUAAUGUUUAUAAGAUUAAAUUUGUUCUUAUCUUUCCUUAAUAAACACAAAAAUUUAUCGUUUUGGACUAAUUAAAAUUUUAAAACUAGCUAACAAGCAAACCGCCAUUAAUUUUUUUUUUUCCAUUUCUUUAAUCAUUCUUUUUUCUCUUUUUGACCUUUUUCUUUUUCUUUUCUUCAGUCCUUAUUUUUCUUUUCUUUUUUGGUUUUCCUCUAAACUCUUUAAGAAAGGCUGCCAAGCCUUGAAAAUAUCUCAAAAAAUAAGAUUUUCUUUCUUAAGAUUAACAUUUUAACCACAAAAAUAAAACUCUAGUCCAAACAUUGAGCACUUACAAAUCAAACGAUAAAAACCUCUUAUUAGUACAUUAACCGUAAAAUAAAAAAGAAUUAUCACAAAUAUUGAAAUGUUGUUGUUUGAUGCUUGAGAUUCUUGAAAUGUAUGCAGAAUUCCGACAAUAUUUUGUUGAAGCAACUCUCGGAAACUUGUUUGUUGAGAUUGAUGAAGAGUCCAUGGCAAGUAACCAGGCAUAUUGCAAUCCUUGUAAUUAUUCUGACCGAGAACAAUAAAACAAAAAGUGAAAACUGAAGAAAAUGAUAAGAAAACAAUAGAAUAAUAAUAUUAAAAACUCGCUAAUCUUGCCCAAUUUUUUUUUUUUUUGGAUAAUGUUCAGCGUAUACUAGAAUCUUUUAGAGCAGAAGCAAAACAGCAACAACUUUUCAAGAAAAGAAAAAAAAAAAGAAUUAUUAAAGAAAAUGGAAAAAAGAAUUAACGGCAGUUUAUUUGAUAGCUUUUAGAUAGCCAAAACCGGUGAGUUUUUGUGUUUUAAUAAGGAUAGUUAGGAAUAAAUUUAAUCCUCUCUAUAGAAUCAUUUAGUUACUAUGUGUCAAAAUCUCCUGUAAAGAAUAGGAAAAAUUAAAUUAGAAGAGGAUCCAAAUCAGGACUUGACUAGCUUACAGAAUCUGUAAGCUACGGACUGCAGCAUCAGCCGUUGGAUGUGGUUGGAUGUGGAGUGAGAAAUUAAACAAUAGAAGAUCGGAUGGUGGGAUGACGGGAGAUGUUUGUUACAGAAUCUGUACCAUAGACAGGUCCUCCAAAUCAUCAACAUCUUGGAAUAAACAAAAGAAUCUAAACAAAAGAAACUCGUUUUGCGUGUGAACCAGUUCAAGAUAAAGAGCAGACUAUUGGAAAGAGACAAAUACUACAAGAAUAACAAAACAUUCUACAGUUACUACAUAAGCCUGCAACAAUUAAUUAUUAACUCAAGAUUUAUUACACUUUUUCUUUAAUUUGACAAAGAAACCAAAAAUGAAAUAAAAUUGACAACAGCAAUGAUAUGCUUACAACAAUGAGUAUGAAACUUAGUACAACAAGGACCUUUUUGCUAAUUUUUUCAAAUUUUUAUGAUAUUUUAGAAUUUAUGGGUUUUAUUGAUUUUGAUAAAUUGGAGCAUUUCUCCAUUCAUCUUUUCUGCAUCUAUCCCUAAAUUUCUUAUCUUUGUAAAGUUUUAACUAUGUCUUUGUAAAGUUCUAAAUGAUUAUCUCGUUCAUAGAGAUCUAUAGUUAAAUUAAUUCUUGUAUUUAUAAUCAUUUGUCUCCUUUGAGACAUAGACCAAAUUUUUUCUUCUAACAUUCCUAUGUAUAUUCCUAAGCUAUAUUUCCAGCUUAGGUACAUCUUAUCUAGGAUUUCACAAAUAAAUUGUAAUUUGAGAUCUGCAUCUUGAAUCAACAUCACCAUAUUAUUAUUAUUAUUAUUAUUAUUAUUAUUAUCCAUUGUUUUAUACUCGAUUUUGGGUUCUAUUACUAGUCGCACUUGUCUUGGAUUAUUUCAAGGCUAGAUAGAAUUGAUUCUAUUAAUGCUAUCCUGUUUCCUUCUUCAAAUGAAUCGAAUAUUUUUGGAUCAAUAAUUCUUUUCAUUUCUUCAUACAAGUGUUUGCUUGUAAUUAAUCUAGUUUUAACUAUGGAAAUUGUAUAAGCAACUUGAUAUUCUUGACUAAAGUCUAGAUGAUCAAUUGCGUCUAGAAAUUUAUUAACAGAUCUUUCCAUUUUUAUGAAAUUGAGUUACUUUUAUCACUUCCUAUCUUAUAACAUUUCAGAAUACAAACAAGGCCCAACAUGCUUCCAUUUGUUGCUAAAAUAAAAGAAUAGAGUUCAAGAUUACUAACCAGUGUACAUUUCUCGGAAUUCUAAGAUAGAUUCACUAAUUGCCUCCAACCAUAGAGAGGUCUAUGGUUAACUCCGCCAUAGCUCCACACAUCAUAUAAGAUCACUUCAACGACUGUUACAUAGGCCCAACGCAACAUAUAGCAAACGGGCCUAAAAGAAUAUGUCUAAGUGAUUUGCUUACAGCUGUCUCUGGAAGAGUGCUUAGUAGUAGAAAAUCUUCUUCCUUUAGCACAAGUAUUGGCAUGUAAGGUUCUUGGUUAUUUUCUAAGAGUAUAUAAGAUAUCUGGAAGAUGACAAUUUCGCUCAAAAGAGUUUUAUUUAUUUCAUCAUUGAAAUUAUUUACAGAGGAUGGUUACAGAGAAUACAGGUGUAGGUGUAGGUGUAGGUGUAGGUGUAGGUGUAGGUGAAGGUUAGGCAUGUGAUGUCCUUCCCUUCUUACAUGUUUCUAUUUAUAAUCUUAAAUAGAUAAGGUUAUCUCUUUUACAUGACACUUGUUUAAUUCUCUUGGUGGAUUGUGGAUUCUUUCCUGAUAAGGUGACCCUUCUUCUUUUUAUCAUUAAAGACAGUGGUUGUCUUCUUUUCCUGGUGGUAGACAGCCUUUAUCUGGUUGUAGUGUGCUUUAUCUUUUUGGAAUCUUUCUUUUUGAAUUAUUAAUGCUUUUAGGAUAGCACCUUUUAUCUUUUCCAAUGGUUCCUGUCACAUGCCAAGUAUCAAAUCUUCCUCUAGUGACAUGUCUUCCCCACUAGAAUCCUUUUUUGAUCCUUCGUAGCAGUAGCCACAUGAUGACUGAUGUUUUAGCACCUUGCAUACCUCGUGAUGUGUCAGUAAGCUGGAUUCCACGAGAUUUUCAUAUAUUGCCUUUUUCUUUUUUGAUAUGGCCUGUCUGGCUAAAAUGCUUUCUUUUCUACUUAUAGAAAAGAUUAUAUGCUCCUUUGUGGCUUCGUGGAGCCAUAUUUUUUCCUCACUUAUCCUCUCAAGAGAUUCAUAGAGGACUUUCAUUCCUACGGCUCUUUUGCUGGUGAGAGCUUUGGGUUCGAAAAAUUCAGGAUCAUAAUCAUUAUAGACUUGAUCUAUAUCAAUAGUUGGACUAACUUUUUGCUGCUAAUUCUAACUUAAAUCAUGUGCUGUGCUACCACUUGUUUUCACCGUAUUAAGGGCAAGCAGUGAGGAUCUUGAUAAAAAUUAGUUCUUUUGUUUUGGAUAUCCUUUUGUGGUCAUUAACAGCCUCUGUAUUUUUUUCUAGGAGCUCUUUUAUUUUCCUACAAUCAUCACGGACAUAAACAAGGUUAAGAAAACCGUAUUCAAACAUGUCUUUUAUCAAUUUUGGAUAAGCUCCUAGCACAAAUUUUAUCCUUGGGUAUAACCCUGAAUGAUAUGGUAUUAUAGUCUGGUUAUGAUGAAUCACAUAAGUUAUUUUACCAAUUCUUUUAUAAUUAUAAGCGUUGUCGCUUCCUAAUGGAUUUUUAACCAUAGGAACAGACUGUCCGCUUUUAUUAUAUUGGGGCCUUAAGCUCACUGAAGACCUUUGAGAUUCUUCUUUCUUCAUAUAUUAUUCUUUGAGAUCAUUGAUUGUGAGAAAUUUCUCUAGAUGUGUGACCUUUGAGUUCUGUGAAGAACUCUGGGCAAUCUGAUCCUUAGUUUGAUCCUUAAAAUGGACCUUUUUUUAGCAUAUUACUAAUAGAUUGUUAUGAAAUUUGGACUUCUGGAUGAUUUUGCAAACUUUUCUAUAGGCAAAGUUUGCUCAAUUCUUCAUGGGCAUCAUCUAUCAUGGCAAGCCUAUUAUAAAUUAUACCAUUGCCUUUGAGAAGCAAUUCUUGACCUUCAGAGCACAUUAUUAUGCCCUUAAUUAUUUUGGAAAGACCCUUCUCCAUUGUAUUCUCGGCUAAGAAAAUUUGCAAUAGAAUUGUUAGAUCCUUUAAUAUAUUCAAUUUCAAAAUCAUAUUCAGCAAAAAAACCGUUGCCAUUUAAUUAAUCUUUUAUAUUAAGGGAGAUUAGGCAAUUUAUUAAAUAUAAAUCCUUUAACUCGAGUGUUAUCAGAUCUUACCUUGAAUUUCUUUGGUAACAAAAAAAAGUAAAUUUAGCUAUUCCAUUUUUAAUAGUUAACAGUUCAUUUUCAUUACUAUGAUAAUUCUUCUAUGCGGGUUUGAAUGUUCUGGUGGCAUAUCUACAAAUCUUUUCUUGAUCUGUUUUUAAGACUACACCCCAGUAAUUAUCUGAAGCAUCGGUCUCAAGAAUUAAAUUAUCACUAGAAGUAGGGAAUCCUAAUCUUGGAAGAUUUUUACAUUUUUCUUUCGAUUUUUUUACUACUUUGGUAUGGAGAUCUUUCCAUGAUUUAGUAUUAUUCUUUUUUAAUAAUCCUUGUAAAGAUUGUCUUUCUUUAGCUAAGUUUUCUAUGAAACCUUCAGCAUAAUUAAGAUAUCCUAAAAAUAUUUGAAUUUGUUCUUUAGAUUCUAAUUUAUUUGGGAAUAGAUAUAUUUUCCAAAAAUAUGAGGUUGCAUCUCAAUUCCUGUUUCAUCUAUUAUUAACCCUAGAAAUUCUAUCUUGAGUUUCAUUAUUUCAGCUUUCUUUUUAGGGAGUAAUAUUCCAUGUUUCUUGCAUUUCUCUGCAAAAGAAACGAGAUGAUUAAUAAGAUAUAUCUUAUUAUCUGAAAAUAUAAAAAUAUCAUCUAAAUAAACAAUGUAGAAUUCAUGAAAUUCUUUGAAGAUUUGAUCCAUCCUUCUUUCAAAUAUUUUUGGUGCAUUUUUCAAUCCAAAAGGCAUUACAAUCCAUUCAUAUUAUCCUUGAGGUGUACUAAAGGCAGUAAGUGGUAUACUUUCUACUUUAAGUUUGAUAUGUCAAAAUCCAGAUUUGCAAUCAAACUUGCUAAAUGUCUUUUUAUCGGUCACGGAGAUAAUUAAUGUAUCUUUAUAAGGUAAAAAAUAUCCAUUGAAUUUGGUAUAUUUAUUUAAUUCUUUGUAGUUAAUAACCAUGCGAGCUUUUCCUCAUUUAAUUUCUACAUGAUUUCUAACCAUAAAGGCUGGACUACUAUGAGGACUUUUAGAUUUCAAAUAAUCUUAAGUUCUAAUAACUCUUCAAUUUUUUUUAUCAAAUUCUUGUCCAUGUUCUUGCCCAUCUCUCAUAGGCUUAACUCUUAUGAUACCAUUUAGAUCUGUUAAUUCGAUCUUAGCAUAUGUUUAAUCAAUUUCUCAUAAUUGAAUUGGGUUUUCACCAAAAUUUUUAUCAAGUUUUUCUAAAAUUUUUUCAUAGUCUAACAUGAUUUGAAUGAUUUUUAUAGUGUAAUCAACACACUGACUGUGUCGAAAAUGUAAUUUUUGAGUUGUGCGCCUAACAAGGUUAUAAAUUCUCGGGGUAGUAAUGGAAUGAUUACAUGGUGUUUUGAGAGUAAUGGCUUCAUUAGUCAUUAUAUAAAUGAAUUGACGAAGGAAAUUAACUCCUAAAAGUAUAUAUGUUCCCAUAUGAUCAUAAGACCAGAAUAUAGGGAUACUUAAGAUGUAAUCUUCGAUUUGGAUUAAAGUCUUAAUCCUACAAGUCCCUAAGGUGAUCUGUUCAUCAUUUGUUCCUUAUCCUUUUAAAGGCUUAUAAUCUUUCCAAUAUGGUUUUGGAUAAAUCCUAGAACUGGCAAAACUAACUCCUAAACCAGUAUCGAUUAAAGCAUAAAACCAUUCCAGUUUAUGUUUAUAAUAUGGUAUAAUCACUUUUAUAUAAAUUAUAAAAGGAUUAGACAUAUCUUGAUAUGGUUUGCUUAAUUCCUUCAAUUGUUAUACUUAUUUCUCUAUCUCCUGUACAAUAAGGAGAGAAAUUCUAAAGAAAGUUCAUCCCUAAUAAUAAAGGAUUUAUUUCUGUUUCAUAAUAUGGUUCUAUGAAAAAAGGAAAGAUGAAUUUUGUUCCUUUUAUUUUUAAUGGUAUUUUACAAUAUUUUCUUAAUGUCUUUCUUUCUCUAUUAAAUCCUACAUAAGUAUGAGGUUCAAUUAGAAUUUUUCUUUCUAAAUAUUUAAUCAUUUUAGCAUCUACAUAAGAUUUUGUAGCUCAUGUAUCAAGGAUAGCAAAAGUCUCGUGCCAUGAUUUUCCAUUAUUAUAGUCAAUCUUAAUUUUUAGAUUUUGAUUAUUUUUUCUAAUUGUGGCUAAUAUUUCAUGUGAUGGUGGUGUCACAAGAUGACUACAUCUAGUAAAACUUUGGGUUCCUCUGAAUUUUGGUUCUCUUUUGGGUAUAGAGAAUGAUCUUUUAUGUCUUAUAAUGAUUCUUCCUUCUGGAGUAUAUUCUAUAGAUUUAGUAGUAUUUCCUUUAAUCAGAGUAGGUUGACUACUUAGAUUCAUUUUCCAUUCUUAUGAUAAAUAUAUUUCUCUCUGGAUUUCAGGAUAUUUUAUAUUUCUAACUUUACUAAAUAAUUUAUCUAUUUCAAUAAAAUAUUUAUUAGCAAACAUUUCACUAUUUGCUGAAUUUGUUAAUGCAUAUUUUAUGGCAUACAUUAUGCUAUAUGGAUAAGACCCCUCAUGCAUUAUAUCAAAGUAUUUAAAAUCAUGACAUAAGGUUAAUGUUUUAUUUAUAUUUCUAUCCCUAAGACUUAUAGAAUAUUUAGGAUAUAUCUUAAAUAUCAAUUUUUUAUAACUCAAGUUUCCUUGUAUUAUUCUAGGGACUGCAUGUUUUCGAUCUUGUAUUCUAUUAUCUAGUACUGCUAAAAUUAUUGGACUAUCUAUUCCUUCCCGAAAAUGAGCUUUUAUCAUAAACUGAAUUCCUCCAAUAUGAUCAUAUCCAAUUUUGGGUCUAUUGCUAGAUUUUAUCUUACUGAUUUUAUCUUCUAUAUCAGUCUUUAAUAAUAAUGGUAUAUUUGUAUUUCCCUUAGCAUACCUAAUUUCAAUAUGUUCUUCUCACACAGUAGCACUGAAAUACAUAACAUUUUUUCUUUUAAUCAUGGUGGCAAUUCCUAGAGCUAACUUAUUGACUGAAGUCAAGGAUGAUUCUAAUCAUUUUUUUGUUAAUCUUGAGGUAUUGUUUUUUUUUUUUAUCAAAGAUUAAUUCUUUGUUAAAAGAACCUUGUUCUUCUAAUUCUUCAUCUUGAUAUAAAUGCUUAUUAUCUAAUUCUUCUAUACUCAUUCCAAAUAUGAUUUUGAAUCUGAGCUACUUAAAGUUUCUUCAGAAAGAUAAUAUAUGCUAUCACUUUCACUAAUACCUUCACUAUCUGUGAUUAAUUCUAAAUCAUUAAAAUCCUCAAACAUUUUUAUAUUUUCUUUUUUCUUUUUAGGACAUUCAUUUGUAUAAUGCCCUUCUUCAUUACAUAACCACCACUUGCAUUCUUUAACUACAUUGGUUUUAAAUCUUCUUUUAAAUUUAUUUUUCUUGUAGAAUUUCUUCUUAUAUUUAUUUUUCUUGUAAUAUUUCUUGUUGCCUUUAAAGAAUCUCUUCUUUUUGAAUUUAUUCCUAUAUUUAUAAGUUUUAUCUGAACAUCCAAAUCUUGGUGGAUCUUCUAACUUAGAGCAAAACAAUCCUUGAUUUAGCCUUUUCAUAAGUCUGUUAUCUCUUAUUUCAGCACACCAUUCACUCAUUCUAUUUCGAGCAAACCUAAUCUUAUUUCCUAAGGUAUCAGUCUCUGUUGUAUCUUCAUAUUUGUUGUUAUAUUCUAGCAUAAUCCUUUUCUCCCAUGGGUCUGGUAUCCUUAUAAAAUAUAGAUCUUAGUAAUAGCAUAUGCUACUUUCAUCUAAUUCACAUUUAUAAUAUAAUUCUUCAAAGCUACACGUGUAUUCUUCUAAAUAACAUAUAUUACAUAUUUCAAGCCUUGUUAGUUUUAUUACAUUUUCCAUCUUUUUUUCACUUUAUUUCUUAUUGAAAACCAGUUUCUCAAUCUUCUCCUAGGAAUUUUUUUCUUAUUUCAUUUUCAAAUCUAUUUAAAACUUGAUCCAAGCUUUCAUUUUGAUUAUUAUUUUCUCCAUACAAUAUUUUAUUUUUGUUAUUAUCGUUUAGUCCCAUAAACGAAUGUGACACUAUUCCUACAAAUGAAGUUUUAAGGAAUUCUAUACUAUUAUUCCUAUCUAUUUUGUUAAAUACAAAUGCCGUUUUCAUAGAUUUAACCCAAGCGAUAAUCGUUUUAUCUCUAUCUUUGACAUAGUCUAAAUCUAACCAUACUCCAUCAUGGUUGAUUGGUCUCUCUCUAUAUUUUCCUGGAGUUUUAUAAUUUUUUUAGGCUUGUUAACCCUAAAAUAUUGAUGUUGUGAUCUUUCAUGAGCUAGUAUUUCUUCUCUAGUAUAGGAAGCUCUAUUACUAGAUUCUCCUUGUUAAAAAACCGUUGGUUUUGAUUCAUUCAUUUUUAAUUGUUCUAUUCUAUUUUCAAUAUCUCAUAAGUUAAUGAGUACAUCCUCUUCCUCUUCGGAUUUAGAUUCUUCAUUGGAUAUUUCUGGAUUGUAUAAUUCUUUUAAUCCAUUGUCUACAUUUUCACUUAGCAUCCUUAAACUUAUUAAUUUUUUAUCUUAGUUUUUUGUUAAAUAUUGUCUAGAUAUUGCUAUCAUUUCUUUAUCUUUCUUUUCGUUGUAGUAAAUUAUGGUGUCUUGUAAGGUUUUAUUUUUUUUUCUUGAAUUACCAUGAGUAAUUCUUCCAUAUUGUUAUUUAUCUUUUGUAUUUCAAUCCUUUUGUAGUUUUCUAUGAAAAAUUAUUUCUAUACACCUCUCUCCUAAUUCUAAAUAGGAGAAUAGGAUCGAUGUUUAAAUUUCUAUUCUUUAUUAUUUUGAGUUCUCCAAUUCUAAAUUCAUGAGCUCUAGAUAAAUAAAAUUGUUCUAAUUGUUUAUCAUCUAAUAUCUCAAGUUUUGAAUAAUAAUAUUGUUUAUGUUUAGUUAUGUUAUCCUUUAUAGUAUUACUAUCUACCAUUAGAUUAUAUCCCCUAUUAUUAAUAAAAUAAACAAUUGUUUCUUCCAUUUUUAUAUUUUGAACCAAAAAUCUGGUUCUGAUACCGUUUUUGCAGACAAUUUUCAAUCCUAAGAUCCAAGUAAGGAUGUAAAUGAUUAAUCUUUAAAAUCUUAUGAAUAUUUUACAAUUUUGCUUUUUUAAAACACACAGUUUUAUGCUAGGUGUUGUGCAAUCUUUUGUAAAAAUUCAUGAACCAAUACUAUAUUGACUUCUCCUAAAAUGCAUAGGUUUGUUAUGAAAUUCUAAGUGUACAACCCAAAAAGUGGGGUGAAUUGGGUUUUUAAAAAUUUAAGCAAUUAUAACCACACAAAAAUUUCAAUUAAUGUCUUAUUUGAUUCAAUAACAAUAAUUUUAACAAUGAAUAAAGUAAAGAGAUGAGGGAGAAGAGAGCAAACAUGAGAUUUUUACAUGGUUCAGCAAAACCUGCCUACGUUGACGCCUCCAAGCUCACUAUGCUUGAAGAUUUCACUAUCCAAGCAUUACAACCCUAAGGCUUCAAGAUGCUUACAAUUGAUUUCUAAGGUUUCCAUGGACCUUUACAUCCAGAGGUUCUCUCAAACCUCUUAACCAAGUGUUUCUCACACUUACAACCACUUAAUUGUGAUAUUGAAAAAAAGUUACACAAAUUUUCCACUCACACAAUAUAUGUGUUUACAACUAAAAGCCUAGAGUGUGUUUCAAUGAAAGAAUAAAAACAUUUAAGCUCAAGACAGAUUAAACAUGCAAAAGUAAGCUCAAUGCCAAUUUUUGAAUUCGUUAUUGAUUGAAUAUGAUUAAUCCUUUUGAUAGUUGGAGCUGAAAACUAGCCGUUAUUGACUUUCUGCACAAGGUCGGAUCAUCGUUAAUACUUAUCGGACUGCUGUUUUGACUUGAUCAAGUUACCGUUAGGCGAAAAUCUAAAUUUUCGGAUCACCAUUUUCGAGACAUUGAAUUGUUGUUAGUUUCUAGUAACAUUGCGAGAAAAUAGUUGGCUUACCGUUUUCAAAAUGUCAUAUCGUCGUUAGUUUCCAAAUCCAUUCGAUGUCGGUUAGCCAUUUGCUACAUUAACUGCUACAUUGAAACUAUUUUUUAAAAUUAUAUUUUUGCCAUGCUUUCUAUAAUUAUACUGUAGCCCAAAUCUUCAUAAUACUUUACAAAUAGGUCCAUUUUCAGAGUUUCAAAACAUACUUUUUAUUUCCAAAACUUUAUGAAAUUAUACUAUAACCCAAAAAUAUAUAAAAUAUUUCAAAUAGGUUCAUUUCUAGAAUUUUAAAACAAUACUUGUUGAUUUCAAAGUUCUCAAAACUUUUUAAAUUUAGAGCAUUAACUUCAAAAUAACCAAUUUCAUAAAAUCAUUUUUUUCAUUAAGAUUUAUGAAAAAUGACUUGAGCUUUUAAAUGCUUAAGCAUGCAUAUAUUUAAUCAUACUAGCUUUACAAGAAAUGUAACAAGAGAAAUCACCUAAGCUAGUACCUCUAAUGCUUGUUCUUGACUUAGUGAGCUUUUUACCUUCGUCUAUUUGAGUGCCUUGAACUUGAUCACACACACACACACACACACACACACACACACACACACACACAUAUAUAUAUAUAUAUAUAUAUAUAUAUAUAUAUAUAUAUAUAUCAUUUUAUCCUUUUAUCCUUAACACGUGGUUUGUUAUUAUCAAAACCCAAGUUCGUACAACCGCUUAGGCCAACAUGUUACUCCCAAUCAAUUGACUUCUGACAUGACUACUUCCAAAAUGGCUAGUACCAAAAGGGAAUCCUUCUGGGAUGAGAAUUGAAAAACAUGCCUCUUCUAGCACUAAAAUUACUCCUUCCACCUAUAUUUCCACUAUAAUGUCCUUAAAAUCCUCCGGCAUAUCCACCUCUUUUAGUAUUGCCUCCUAUUUGUGCAUGAUAGUAAUUAAUUAUGCCAUAGUUAUUAUGGUUAGCAAAGUUAGCACAAUUUGCAUUGAAUAUGUGUUUUUCAUUAUGACUUUGUUCAAGUCUUGCCUCUUGAGUAAGCAAUAGAGCAUACGCACCAUCAUAAUAUAACUUGCUAGCAGUAAUAAAAGUAGAUAAAUGCAGAUGGCUAGCUCCAAAACUAUUGAGAAUUUGUUAAACAUAUCUUUAUCAGAAAUAGGACUACCAACACAUGUCAAUUUAUCUGCUAUUUAUUUAAUCUUUAAGCAAUACUCUUCUAUGCUUAGUGACUUUUUUUCUCAAAGCAUUCAUCUCAUAUCUCAUUUGAAGAAUCCUACCCUCAUAAUGUUGCCUAAACUUUUUCUGUAAUGUUUUUCAUACAUCAAGUAAGGUGUUAUAAGAAUGAACAAGACCGAGAAUACCUUCAGUGAUAGAGCUGAGUAACUAGCUAAGUAAUGUGUGAUCUUGAGAUCUCCAAACAAUGAACUCAGGAUUUUCAAUCUGUUAAGUAGAUGCAGCAACUGCUCUAGCAUAGCUGAUGAAUCAAUGAAUUGAUUUGGUGCUUCAUUUUCUCUAGUUAUGUAUCCUUCGGUUUCCUCUUAUAAAAGCUAGAACUUGAUUUUGCCACAGCAUGUAAUUUGAUCAAUCGAAUGUGAUUGGAGUGAUGAAACAGAAUGUUGUUUGCAUUGAUUGAUUUGUAGAGAUUGCAAUUGAAUUUGUGCUUACAUUGCUUGAGCUUGCCAUUUUGGCUCAGAUACCAUGAAUAAAUUAUUGGAAGUUGAGUUAUAGUUGCUGUUUAACAGCUGAGAAAAUAGAGGAAAAUUCUCUGGAAAUUCUAAAUGUUUCCUAUUGAGCAAACGAAAGAUUAACAUACUAUAUAUAUACAAGUUUCUAAAUUGUUUCUAGCUAAUUUACAGUACAGCUAAUCAAUAGAUUUGAUCCAAAGUAAAACUAAUUAGUUUCACACAUAAGGAGCACGUGAAUCCAUCAUCGUUGCAUAAUCGAACAUGUUGACUUAGCUGCUGACUUGGCAUUGACAGCUGAUUUGCUUCUUUUUUGUAACUCUGGAUAGUGUGCUUUCUUCACAAGUUUCCCCAAAUCUCCAUUAUGUACAGCUUCUGCAAAAAUUUCCUAACCAAACCAUUUAUUUGUAAUUUCCUCUUGUGUUGGCCCUAUGCCAUCAUCAAGUGGUACCGUGAGAGGAUUUCCAUCUAGAUUACCCUGAUCUUUGUCUGAAUCAUAACUAGUAUGCAUAGUGUUUUCAUCCUCAUCACCCUGCGCAGCCAAAACAAAAUGCUUAACAUUACAUAUACAGUAAAACCUCUCUAUAGUCAUAUUGUUGGGAUUAAACUAAUUUUAUUAAUAUGAAGAUGUUAUAAACUUAAUGGAAAUUCAGUGACAAAUCUAUUGAUUAGCUGUGCUACUUUGAUAAUUAAUUAAUGAAGCAUGUCAAAUCUAAUGCAUUGACAUUGAUAAAAGAGGUAAACAUAUAAUUUAAAAAACUAGUACUUAUAUCUAUCAUCUGUGUAGUAUUGGGAACAUGCAAAGUCUUCUUAUUGAAAAUCUAAAGAAUAAAUUAUUAUCCAAAAUAAUUUCAGAAAAAUAUUAUAUUUCAUCUUAAAUCUUUCAUGUAACAUAGCAAAUUUUUUUUUUUUUUGCUCAAUAUACAUAUUAGUAAUACUGUGUGGAUGCGUGUUCCUUAAGAUAUGCUCUAUAAAAGUUGUUAACUUAUUACAAUGUGAAGUUUGUUCUUAUUUAUAAUUGGCUUAAAGCAGGAAUAAGAUUUUUUGUGACUAUUGGACGUUGUUCUUAUAAAAUGUAUCACUACAGAGAGAUUUUAUUAUAAUUCUAAACCGAGAAAAGAAAGUGUAAUCCUAAUAAAUCACCAUCGAUUAGAGCUAUAAUGAAUUAAGCUUUACAAAGAAGAAGAAGAAAGAUUACAAUGUGAAGGCAACAAGAAUCAUGACAAAGUGAGAAAAAGAGAGGCCACAUAAGCCCCAAGGGAAAUUGAGAUUUUAUAACACAGCCUAAUUGCAGAAAGCAUAGGCGAAAAACAGGUGCUUGAUUGCAAACAUGCACACGCGCGCGCGCACACACAAUUUGACCACAAAGACCGCAUACCUUUGAGAGUUGGUCCUCUGGGGCAUAGGCAUUUUUCGCACGUUUUCGUGCUUCCUCCUUUUAUGGCCACGUAGUUUUCGUAAGCUUGAUCAAGAAACUCCUCCAAUUGUUCAUCAUACCUAACACCAAAAAAAUGUCAUAAGAUCACAAAGGCAUAAGUUGAUAGAUAUAUUUGUCAAGAUAAUGCGACAGAAGAUAUAGGUAGAAAAGAAUUACUUUCUGCAUUCUUUAUCAGAGUCACUGUCACUGGACAAUUGCUCUUGAGUGUCUCUAUCGGGUCUCUCAUCUUCACAGCCCUCUGCAGUAGCAUUCUCAUCAUCAUCAUCAUAUUCAACAGCAGCAAGAUCUUUUUUACCCUAAACCGAUCAUUCAAGUUUAUAAAAGAAUGAGAUACUUGCCUUAGACCACACUUUUGAAUUGGAAAAAACUAAUAAAUCAAAAUUGCAACUAAUAUUGUCCUACCCAGCCAUUUUUCAUUUAUCCUGAUGUCAAGUACACUACAAUCGAUGAGUACCUCAGUCAGUUUGCGUAACCCUUCUCUGUUGAGUUGUAGCUUGCAGGAUAUUGGGAAAUAAAUAAUUGGCUUGUUGCCAUCUUUGGUUUGUAUCUGUAAACAUUAUGGUUGUUGGCCUUACCUUCUUUUGGUUUUCUAUGGAAUUUGUAGCACCAUAUUUUGUCCACUAUGUCAGUACACCAGUGAUUAAACAAAGUAGUCUCAUGUGCUUGAUCUAAAAAUAAUUAUAAAGUCACCAUGUGGUUGAUCUAAAGAUAAUUAUAAAGUCACAAACACAGAAAAAUUAAAAGUAAUUCAUAAACAUUUGUCAUGUGAAAUUUACUUAAUGGAAGAGAAAUUCUAGGAAACAACUUUAUGGUGAGAAAACUCUAAAAAUCAAACCGAAAGAUAUAUAAUAAAUAAUUUUAUAAGAAUUAGGCUAUGUUUCAAAUAAUAUCACAUAUAGUAAAUUUAUGAGUUGUCGCUCAUCAUAACUCAAUUGUUUCACAUAUUGUAAUUCUUUAAUUUUGAAUAACAACAUAUGUUUCAUAAGAUUUAAAAUGGUAUGACUCAUUUUAUAAUAUUUUUAACUGAAUUGAAAUUCUGCAACUAUAAAAAUUGAAAAGAAUGAACUUGGCGGUAUUACGCUUAUAGUAUUGUUUCUUAUGGUGAACCAAAAGCAAGCCAAAAUUACGCUUACAUCAUCUUACUCUACCGUAAAACUUAUUUAUAAUCAUAACGGUAACACUAAAUUAAUUUUAUUACUGUGAGAGUUUAAUAUUUAAUAGAGGUGUAGUUACAAAAAUUAUUAUUUUAACUUAAUUAUUUUUUGUGCAAGUGAUAUAGCGAUAAAAUAUGCACUAUAUUAAUAACUAAUUAAUACAGCAUGUCAAAUUCAAUGUACUAACAAUGAUGAAAAAGAUAGGCAUAGUUUGAAAAAAACUAGUACAUAUAUCUUUAUAGUGCUGGAAUUAUGUAAAAUCAUCUUGAAAGUCUAAAGAAUAAAUGAUUGUACAAAAUAAUUUUAGAAAAAUAUUUUACUUCAUCUUAAACCUUUAACAUAAUAAGGGAUAUAUUUUUUACAAUAUACCGAUAAUUAUUACUAUUAGAGGUAACUUUCUUAAAACCGGAUUUAAAAAAAUUAUAAUUUAUCAUAAUAUAGAGUUUAUUCUUAUUUAUAAUUAUUAGGCUUGAUAAUCGACUGGGUCGUGUUUGGGCCAUGCCAAGCUCUAGCCCAACUAGGGGUGGCAAAACGAAUAAACGAAUCGAAUUUGAAUCGAAUCGUAAACGAAUUGGGUCAAAAUUAUAUGGAUUCGGAUUCGAUUCGUUUAUUAAACGAAUUGAAAUUUCAGGAUUCAGAUUCGAUUCGGUUAUUAAACAAAUAUUCGGUUCAAUUCGUUUAAUUCGUUUAAUAGAAUUGAUAAACGAAUCGAAUCGAAUCCGGAUUCGUUUAUUAUUCGCUUAUCCUUUACGAAUCCAUAACGAAUCGAAUCGAAUCAGGAUUCGUUUACAAUUCAUUUAGAAAAAUAUAAUUAAUAAACAAAAUUAAGCAAAAAAAACACAAAUUUAAUAUCCCACAACAAAAUACAAAUAAUUCAAAUCAUAUUAUACAGUCAUCCAAAUACUAAAUUACAAAUCCUUAAUAUUACAAAUAACAAUAAUUCAAAUUCAAAUUAUAAAGAAAUGUAAUUUCUUUAAUUCUCUUCAUUUGUCUUUGUCGCCUUGAAAACAAAAAUCCUACACCAAAAAGUAAAUAAAAUGUUAUUAACAUGCUGCAAUAUUGAUAAUAGUCAUUGUAAAAUUUCAAAAAUCAAAUAUAUAGCAAAUUUGUAGCAUUUUCAAGAAAAUAAUAAUUAAACAAGAUAAAAACUUUACCUACCACACUCACACACUGUCAUUUGGAUCAUUGGCACUCUCUGCAGAUGGAGCACAAUUAGUGCUCAUGUUCAUAAUGUUUUGAGUAAGUUGGUCCACAGUGACAUCCAAAUUUUCUACAAUAAUUUUAUAAAAAUAAAUCUUAAUUAGAAACAAUUGCACAUAAUAUUAUAAAAGAAAAGUAAAUAAAUUUUAUGAGCAAGUUUUACCAAUCUCUCCAAACUUCCAAUCUCUAGUAGUAAUAAUUGCUUGAACUAUCUCUAGUAGUAAUAAUUACUUGAACUGUCUCUGGCUUCAAUACACUUCAAAAUUGAUCAAGAACUCAACCGCCAAACAACAACAAAACAACAGUAAAACAGCAACAAAAUAGCAGCAAAAUAGUAGUAAAACAACAACAAAAUAUCAGUAAAAUAGCAGUAAAACAACAACAAAAUAGUGGAAAAAUAACAAAAAAAAUGGUAGCGAAACAGCAGCCAAACAACAGCAGUAAAACAGCAGCGAAACAGCAGUAAAACGACAGUAAAAUAGCAGUAAAUCAGCAACAAAACAACAGCAAAACAGUAAUAAAACAGCAACAAAACAGCAACAAAACAACAGCAAAACGGUAAUAAAACAGCAAUAAAAGGCAAAUUUUCAGUGGUGUACCGUGAUGGUGGGUAGUUAGCGCGGCGGGAAGUGGUGCUGGGGAUGAAAACCUUCAAAUUUUAAAAAGCUUUCAAAUAAAUUUAAGGAUAAAAAAGUAAUUUAAUUAAACGAAUAAUAAACUAAUCGACCCGUAUUCGAUUGGUUUAUGACCGAUUUAUUAAACGAAUAAACGAAUCAAAAUUUUCAAACCUGCAUUCGAUUCGUUUAAUUAACGAAUCGAAUCGAAUUCACCCAUUUAUUAAACGAAUCAAUUUUUUCAAACUCAAACCCAUUUAAUUUGCAUCGAAUCGAAUCAAAUAAACGAAUCCUGACCCAUAUUGCCACCCCUGCCCAACCCUAUGAUUAAAAUGAAGGACUCUAAUACUAAAAAGCUUGACCCUUCAAACUAAAGAACAACCUGGCUUUAAUAAUUUUUUUAUAUUUUAUUUUUUUUUUUAAGAAUAUGACUCCUAUUCUUCAUUCUUUAGUAAUAUUAUUAUUAUUAUUAUUGUUCCUUUUUUUUGUUGGAUUUGUUUGUAAGGAAUUUAAUAAAUUAUUUUUUAUUUAACUUAACAACAAUAGAACGUUUAACAAUCUAACAAAAUUAAUAUAUUAACCAAGCAAUAGGUAAAUAAAUCAAAUACAAAAUAACAAAAUUAAUAUGAAAUAGAGAUAAAUAUCCCUAAAGUGUAGUUGUGACCAUCUAUGUGUAUGUGUGUUUAAUAAUAUUUUUAUUUUAAAAAUUAAUUUAAAGAUCAAGAGUUGAGUUAAAACAUUUUGGUAAAACUUUAACCCUAACCCAAAUGUAAUUAGGUCCUGAUUCCUUAAGCCCUAACCCAACGUUUAACCUUUCAAAUUCGAGUCAAAACCAUUAAAAUUAAGAUCGAAUCAAUCAAGUCGAGGGUCGGAUAAAACCUUUUUGUCAUCCUAAAAAUUACCCUAAAUUAAAAUCAAAAUUUUUUAAAAUUAUAUAAAAAUUAUUCUUAUACACAGUAACAAUAUACGACCCAACAAGAAAUGAACCUGGACGCAUUAGGGCUUUGAUCCACAAACAAACUUUCAAAACCCUCUUAGACCUCAAGAGCAUUUUAGUCCAUUUAAUCAAAAGUAAAAGUGCGGCUACCAGCUAACUCUCCGGAAUUGAACUGAACGAGUUUCAGAAAUGGCAUCGAAAAGCAAGAUUCUAUCCAUCGGCGGGACAGGGUAUAUCGGUAAAUUCAUCGUGGAAGCUAGCGUGAAAGCCGGCCACCCGACGUUCGUGCUCGUGAGGGAAUCCACAGUCUCUGGUCCUUCCAAAUCUCAGCUCCUCGACCACUUCAAAAACCUCGGCGUCAAUUUCCUUGUCGUGAGUUAUCAAUUUUUUUUUUCAUUUUUUUAAUUCCAAAUUUUGACACGUGGCGGUGUAGCCUCUACUUGAUAGACUUGGUUUUUUUUUUUAAUUUAAUUUUUGUGGGUGCUGUUAUUAUUAUGCAGGGAGAUGUUUUGAAUCACGAGAGUUUGGUGAAGGCGAUAAAACAAGUGGACGUGGUGAUAUCAACAGUUGGUCACACUUUAAUAGCCGAUCAGGUCAAGAUUAUUGCUGCCAUUAAAGAAGCCGGUAACGUUAAGGUAUGACAUAAUUAAUGUAAAUGUCUUAGAUUCCGAUCAGGAUUGUGCACUCGUGCACACGUGGUGAUUUAUUCUUCGUGUGGAGCUCGCUGUAGAGUAGAGCUCCCAGUUCCGCUAAUAAACACCCGUCACAUGCGCAAUUGCGCCUCAAAAUAAUUUAAUUAAUUAAUUAGGUAUAAACACCGAUGGCAUGAAAGCAAUUAAAAUUAGUUGAUGUUUAUAAAUUAUUUAUUACUCAGAGAUUCUUCCCAUCGGAAUUUGGAAAUGAUGUUGAUCGAGUCCAUGGCGCCGUGGAGCCAACAAAAUCGACGUAUGACGUAAAGGCGAACAUCCGCCGAGCCGUUGAGGCAGAAGGCAUUCCGUACACGUACGUAGAAUCUUAUUUUUUUGAUGGCUACUUCCUCCCUAAUUUGUUGCAGCCUGGGGCCACUGCCCCCCCUAGGGAUAAGGUUGUCAUCUUCGGCGAUGGAAAUCCAAAAGGUAACAUAAUUUAAUUAAGCUCUGUUUGUUUGGUAUGUAUUUCGGUGUUAAUGUUAUUGUCUGUUGUACAAUGGAUGGUCUUGCUUGGUACUGUUGUUGGAGAGCUGCAGUGUUUUGAUAAACACCUCUAUCCUUAGCUUUCAAGUUAAGUUGAUUUUAUACAACACUUGUUUAAUUAAAAACUUGUAAUAUUCUUACUACUUUGAUAAAAAAAAUAUUACGAUUAAAGUAUUAAUGGCACCAUAAUACGAAGUGAAUCUUAAGUGGUCAUUAUAGAUUUUAAGAUAGAGUUUUAAGUGAUUACCAGAUACUUUAGCUGCUGAACCGCCACAUCAUGGUUGCCACACAACAAUUUCAAACAGAGCCUAAAUAACUUCAUUGCAAAACAGUUAAAUGAAUCUAACUUAGUUUCGUCGUUUGAUUUUCAGCUGUUUUUAACAAGGAAGAUGAUAUUGGAACCUACACUAUCAAAGCGGUUGAUGAUCCGAGAACCUUGAACAAAAACUUUUACAUUCAGCCUCCCGGUAAUAUUUACUCAUUCAAUGAUCUUGUGUCUCUGUGGGAGAGAAAGAUUGGUAAAACCCUCGAAAAGGAGUAUGUUUCAGAGGAGCAGCUCCUAAAGAAUAUUCAAGGUUGGUUAAAACUCUCUUUUUUAAAUGUAUUAAAGAGAGCCGUAUAUUCUCUGCCGUAAAUGUUAUUGAUCCUGUCUUCUCCAAAAUGUUGCAGAAGCUGCAUCUCCACACAAUUUUAUAUUAUCAAUUUAUCACUCUGCUUUCGUGAAGGGAGUUCAAACUAACUUCAAGAUUGAACCAUCUUUUGGAGUUGAAGCCUCGCAGCUUUAUCCUGAUGUCAAGUACACUACAGUUGAUGAGUACCUCAAUCAGUUUGUGUAACCCUUCUCUGUUUCCAGCUGCAGCUUGCAGGAUCUUGGACUGUUGGUAAAUAAAUAAUUGGCUUGUUGCCAUCUUUGGUUUUAUAUGUAAAAAUUAUGGUUGUUGGCCUUACUUUCUUCUGGUUGUCCAUGGAAUUUGUUAGACCAUAUUAUGUUUGCUAUGUCAGUGAUCAAAUGAAGUAGGCCAUGUACUUGAUUUGAGAGUAGUAGUUAUAAAGCCAUCAUGAUCAGGUGGGUGCGUAGGUUGGGCUUCUAUUAGGGUGCGUGUGUUGGGCUUCAGGGGCUUGUGAUAUGGGUUCGACAGCCCCUAACGGGCAGUCAUUAUAAAAAUAAUUAUAGAGUUACAAAUCUAUGUAAAAAGCAAAAAUUAAAAGUAAUUUAUCAAUAAAAAUAAUUAAAAUUAAUAAAAAGUAGGUAUGAUAAUUCAGAAAUUAAAUUAAAGAUAGAAUUCUAAAGAGUUGGAUAAUCCUCCAACUAAACUAAAGAUCUAGUACUUUUGAGAGCAAAUUUAAUUAAAGAAAAGGAUAAGGAAAAACAAUAGAAUAAUAAUAUUAAAAAAUUGCAAAUCUUGGUCUUUUUUUUUUACGAUGAUGUUGAAUUCUUAUAAAUUUAAUCUUAUCUAUAGAAUUAUUUAGUUACUGUAUGUCAAAAUUUCCUAUAAAGAUGAAGAAAAAUUAUAUUAGGAGAAGAUCCAAAUCCGUUUAACUGAUGCAUCAUCGACAACAUGAGUACAACAUUUUCGAAUAAACAAAAGAAACUCGUUUUAUGUGUGAACCAGUUCCAAAAUAAAGAGCAGACUAUUGGAAGGAGACAAAUACUACAAGAAGAACAAAACAUUCUACAAUUCCUACAUGAGCCCGCAACAAUUAAUUAUUAACUCGACAUUCAUUACACUUUUUCUUUAAUUUGACAAAGAAACCAAAAAUAAGAUAAAAUUGACUAAGAAAUAAAAAAAUGACAAAAAUCUUUUUGAAGUUUUGCCAGUUCAGCCAUGCACGCUUAUCUUUAUUCACUUGUUUCCUUUCUUUCCUUUCUUUCCUUUCUUUCCUUUCUUUGCUGAAGCCUUCACAGAUCCUUUACCUUUCUGAGCCUUGCCAAUUUUCCCCUUCUUCAAACCACCUGGCCUUGCUGGAUCCACGUGUCCUUGCAUCCUUUUUCAUUCGUGGAUCAACAAGAAUCUCCCCCUUUCCAGCUCUCUCUUGAACUCCUUGCUUUGCGACCAUGUAUUCUUUGGUAGGCCUUUUGGGUAUAGUUGUCUUGUAUAAUUGUUCAAUUUGAUUCCUCUUCGAACGAUCAGAGAUGUCCGCUUAGUCUGAUAUGACAUUUGCCUUCUUGCGAACCUUCUCAAGAUUUCGCAUGGCAACCCGUAUCUUUCGAGCUUUGGUCUUAGCCACCUUCUUGGCAGUAUGGGUGGGCGAUUCGAUUUUGGGAUAAACUUUUGGUUUCGUAUCGGUUUAGAUUAAAAAAUAAUAUAAAAAAAUAUUUAGAUUUUAAGGGAAAAAAUCCGAACCGAGACUCACCUAUCGAUUUUGGCUCGGUUUCAGUUCAGUUUUGAUUCUCCUAAUAGUUUUAUUUUGCCUUAUUGACUUCCGGUCAAUGACACUUUUGAAAAAUUUACAAAAAAAAAAAAAAUGGCCAUAACAAAAUUUCUAAAUGCAAAUAUUUCCUAAACAUUAGGCUAUACUAAAUUUUUUUAAAAGGUAGGGAUCCAAACGAUAUUAUCCCUCUACUUCAUCUUCAACCUUCGUCACUAGGGAUGGCAAAAUUCAGGUUCGGGUUCGGGUCCGGGUUUAGCCAUUCGGGAUCCGGACCCGGAUGAAUAUUUUCUGUAUCGGACCCGAAAAUAAACCCGCAUUUUUCCACUCCGAGUCUGGUACGGGUUCAACCCGAAAAAAUUCGGGUUCCCAGACUGCGGGUUUCCAACCCGAAUUGAUGAAUCCAAUUGAAAAAAAAAAACUAAAUUCAACUAAAAAAAUCAAAUAGAAAUACAUAUCCAGGAUUUUAGCAAAUCAAAGAAAAAUUAUUUCAUCUGGAAACUAAUUAACAAAAACAACAAUUUUGUUUGGCUGCCCAGAAUCAGCAACCCAAUGUGGCGGCUCGUUCAAAACAUUAGUGUUUUCAACAGAUUUUGGGGUAGGAAAAGCCAAACCUAUCUAGAACAAUGAAUUUGUAUUUUUGGGGGAGAUGAGAUACCUCACUGGUUUGUUGUGUGCGGUGCAGUGUAUCUGAAAUUUGGGGGAUGUGAGAAGGGGAGAGGGAGUGGUAACAAUGGUGAAAGGUCAAAACCAAUAGAGAUGUCCUUCAAAAUGAGCUUCACACCUGUAAAACAGUGAAAUAAAGGUUAGAGGUGAAGCCGGGAUACCCCGGUGUUCACACUCCGAUGCUCAAGUUAGCAAACUCAAGCUUUUAUGACAAAGAGAACUGGCUAGCCCUCUGUAAAUUAGGGUUUAAGGUUCAAGGAAACCUAUUUUUUGGAAUGUGAGUGUUAAUGGUGAGUGAGAGACCUCUUCGAGAAUGAAACAUAGGCGCCUUUAUAUAUGGAGUACCUCAGCUGCCACAUGACGUACCCUUUUUUGGCUAACGUCAUUUUUCCUUUUUAUGAUUUUUGGGUCGUUAUGUGCAUGUUCGCGGGGUAUCUCAUCUUUUGGAAACGUGGCGCGCGCUGGAGAGUGGUCCAGGGUACCUCUGCAGUAGCUGUCGGGUAGGCAGCUGAAGACCACUGUCCUUGGGACAAUGUCCUUCACUUUUGGUAAAGGUGACAGGCGGUUGUCCCCCUUUUUAACACGACAUUUUUUAUUCCUAAUUAUGACAAAAUCGAAUAAUAUCUUUUAAGAGAUGGAGACGUUUCUCAUGGUGGAUAUUUUCAGAGGAUUCUCUUGCAUCUGAUCAGCCGGGUUCCUCCAGUUAUGCAGGGUACCUCUAAUUUUACGGGGUACCUCUAUUUGCGCAGGGUACCUUGAAUCAUGCUAGGUACCUUAGAUUAUGCGGGGUACCUCAUAUUGUGUGGGGUACCUCUAAUUGUGCGGGAUACCUCUAUUUGCGCUAGGUACCUUGAAUCAUGCUGGGUACCUCAGAUUGUGCGGGGUACCUCUAUUUGUGCAGGGUACCUUGAAUCAUGCUGGGCACCUCAGAUUGUGCGGGGUACCUUUAGUCAUGCGAGGUACUUUUAAUCAGGCCAGGUACCCUCUAAUUGUGCUGAGUACCUCUAAUCAUGCAGGGUACCUCUAAUCAUGCGGGGUACCUCUAAUCAGGCCGGGUACCUCAGAUUGUGCGGGGUACCUCUAUUUGCGCAGGGUACCUUGAAUCAUGCCGGGUAUCUCAGAUUGUGCGGGGUACCUCAAAUUGUGUGGGGUACCUCUAAUCGUGCGGGGUACCUCUAAUCAUGUCGGGUACCUCGGAUUGCACUGAAAUUAUUCCAUUCGUUGACACGUGGCGUUAUGCUAUCUUUCUUAUUUUUCCCCCAAACAACAUCCCUCUAGUUUCUUUUGGCAAGAAGUUUUGGAGGCAAAAGAAACUUACAUAAAAAGUAGGAGCGACACGUGGCGAUAUGAUGUUUAGCUCGAUGGAUAACUAAAUAGAGGGCGCCUCUAGGGGUACCCUGAGAACCCAAAAAGGGAAGAUGGGCUCCAUUUCCUCGGAAAUGGCUACCACUUUGGACAUGUUGGAAAUGAUAGAGCUAAUUGAUCAAAAAAAUUUCAUCUAUUUCUGGGGAAGAACACCAAAUACGGGUAGAGGGUAUCGUUAGGGUACCCCACCAUUAUCCAUAGUUUGUUUUCUAGUGACUGCCAUGUAUAAAUCGCUCUGGUGAAGGCUUCAAUACAUUCUUUGGGCAUUUAAGAAGCAAUUAUUUGAUUAUCUCGGGAUCCACCUUAUUUAAGGGUAUAUUUCCUUCAUGUGCUUCGAAGAAAAAAAUAAAAUCACAGGGCCUUCUUCCUUGUAACUUCAGAGGUACCAUCGACAGAAGAACAUAGUCGACAAUGCUUUUAAGCGUAUCAUGAUCGAGGAAUGGAGUGCUGAUCUGGGGUUGGUGGUGCCAAGAGUGGAGAAGAUGGUAGAUGAACCGGCUAUCUUGAAGGCGAUUAAUGAUAGCGGGGCUCCCAACACAUCUUGGUCUGAAAGCCCAUUGAGAUCAGCUGAGGUACCUCAGAUGAGGUAUCUAUAAGGUACCCCUGAUACUAACCCUUGUGUUUUUGCUACUUUUAGCACUUUAUUGAUCCCUUCAUCCUAAGGGAUGAAGUUGAAGAUAAAUAUCCUGUUGUAUAACCUUGUUCGACAUUACUGACAAGAUGUAUGGGGUACCUUGUUAGCCUAUAUGGCUAUAAAUAUUGAUUUUGAUGAUAACAAACCACAUGUAUUUAUUGAGUAAAGAUUUAUGAAUUGUGCUUUUAUAAUGAGAAAAUGAUGUUAUGGAAUUAAAUCUUUUUGAACUAAAAUGAAAGUAAUUUUAAAAUCUUUGAUAGUAUUUUAAAUUUCGGAUUUGUACAUAUUUGAAACUAUUUAAAUGUUUUUAGGUCAUUUUGUAAUUUCACAAAGUUUGGGCGAAGUCAUAAUUUCAUAAAGUUGUGGGAUUGAGAAAGCAUUAUCUAAAAUUAUGAAAUUGGACAUAUUUGCAAACGUUUAUAACGUUUUGGGCCAUACCACAGUUUUAUAAAGUUUUAGGGUCAAAUUGAAAAUAUUAGAAAAUUUUCACUGUAGCAGGUUACUGUAGCAAGCAGCUUACCGGAUUCAGAAAAUCAGAAAUCCGGAUUCGAGGCAGUAAGCAUCCAGAACCAAAACGGCUUACCGGAUUCCUGAAUCCGGCAAACCGGUUAGGCAAAAUUUUGAAUUUUGCCUUAACGGUAACAUAAAUCCGGCUUACCGAAUUCUAUAAAAUGGCAAACUGGAUAGCCUAGAAUGUGAGUAACGGCUAGUUUUCGAGCUCAAGCUAUAAGAACUCAAAUCCAACUCAUUUUGAAGCUCUCCAACAAGCAAGAACAAAAAGCACACGUGAUAUCUUGAGCCUUCAACUUGUAAAACACAAUUCAUUGAAUCAUUCAUUGUUCUUCAUCUUUGAAUAUCUACUCAUUGAGUGAGUUUCAUUGUAUCUUUCAUUUCUUCAAUUCAUUUGUAAGAGUUUGAGUGUGUGAGACACUUGAGUGAAGAGAUUGGGAGAUAAUCUCUUUGUUGUAAAGGUUUAUUGACACCUCGAAGUCAAUUGUAAUCGUUGAAGCCUUGGAAAGGCUUGGAUAGUGAAAUCCUCGAGCUUGGAUCGCUUGGAGGCGUGGACGUAGGCGGGGAUUACCGAACCACGUAAAAAUUCGUGUGUUUGUUUCUCUUCUCCCUUACUCUUUAAUUAUUGUACCAUUAUUGAACUUAUUACUUUCAAUUAUUGUUAAGACAUUAGAUUGCUUGUUGUGUGGAUUUGUUAGGAUAAUUUUUAAAAAUCCAAUUCACCCCCCUCUUGGGUUGCACACUUGUAUUUCAUACCUCAUGUACCCUAAUGCUUGGAUAUCCCUUGAGCUAUCUGUUACUUCAUGGCGGAAUAACCCAAUUGCAUCAAACAUAUGGCGAUUCUUCCAGAUAUGCUUGUCGCUUAUCUUAAGCUUUCUUAGGGUUCCUCCUGGUGUAUCUGAGGAAUAGCUUUCUGGCGUGGGGUACCCUUAAUCAGCGUAUGGUGAUUUUCAUAGAAAUGCUUGCCGCAAAUCUUCACAAAACUUGUUGCGGUUGCUUUUGAGAGAUUGUGCGGGGUACCUUGAAUCAUGCCGGGUAUCUCAGAUUGUGCGGGGUACCUCAAAUUGUAUGGGGUACCUCUAAUCGUGCGGGGUACCUCUAAUCAUGUCGGGUACCUCGGAUUGCAGUGAAGUUAUUCCAUUCGUUGACACGUGGCGUUCUGCUAUCUUUCCUAUUUUCCCCCAAACAAUUAGUAAAGAGAGCUAAAGAACUAGCUUUAGUUACGAGCAGAAAAUCAGAAGUCAAGGAGCAGCCAAAGCACUUUUAAUGGUGAUGGUAAAACUAGAGAGGUAAUGCAAAUAAGUUUACGUUGAUUGGAUAUUCAGAAGAAGUAAUACGCCAUUAAAAGCAACAAGUUUUCCAAAAAGCCAACAAAGACAGAGACCACCACACCACCCCGCACUGGAUGAAAAACGAUGAAAGCAUGAUAAGUGGCAUCGAGUAAGCCACGUUCUCUCUCUCUCUCUCUCUCACUCGCACUCGCACUCGCACUCGCACACACUGUUACUAAAAUGACCAAAAAUAAGAUUCCCAUCAAAAUAUUUUCGAGUAUCGUUCUUGAAAGUGGCGGCGGCUGAUGAUGAUGAACACAGCCGCGAUUGCGAUUGGCGAAGGCGGCGUUCUGCCCGUAUCACAGCUAGUUAUCGGUCGCGGCAGAAAAGAUAAUGAAACGACGGCUGAUGAUGAUGAUGAUGAUGUUGAACAGCCGCGAAUAUGGGUAAGUGAUGCGACGAUGAUUUGAUUUGAUGAAGAUGAGCUGAACAUGGAAUAAGAGAGGAAAUGUUUGUGCGGCUGGGAAAGUGUAAUGAACUGCUAGGGCACCAUUUGGGUUUUUUUGCUUUCCUAUUUAUAUUAAAAAUAAUUUUUAAAAAUUAAUAUAUAUCCGGGUUCGGGUUUUGGAUGUACGGGUUUACCUAGACCCGGACACAUGCGGAUUCAGCAGCACCGACCACCCACAGACUUGGAUUUGAUUACAAAGUUGGGACUUAGGAUUUGGGUUUGUGGCUGCCGAAACAGAAAGUGAGAGAGUAGAAAGUAGAGACUGAGAGUGGUGCAAACAUGUGUAAUUUUGUGUGUGUGUCUAUAUAUAUAUAAUGUGAAAUUACAAAAAUGCCAUUAUAUCAGUUCAAUUCGAAUUUUGUAACUUGUGAUCCGAAAACUGAACCAAACCGAACCAUUUGGUUUGGUAUUUAUAUAUUCAGGUUUUUAAUUUAAAAAAACUAAAUUGAAAUUGAAAGAACUAAACCGAACCGAAUUUUUUUUUUUUUUGUUUCGAUUCAAUUAUGCCCAUCCCUACUUAGUAGGCUGGGUAUCAAUUUCUUUGAAUUGUGCUUUCAUUGCAGUAAUCUCCUCCUUGGUAAUAGGUUUAAUUGCUUGCUGAUGCCACCUUUCCUCUAGUAACAACUAGUCUAACAAGCCAUCAUCGUCAAACAUGUACCUAUUAUAAGCAUCAUCCAGAAUUUGCUCUCUUUGCUUUUUGCUUAGUGUCUUCUUUGCACAAGCUAUUAUCUUAGCUUUUGUAUCAAUAUCUUUAUCUUUUGAUUCACCAGAGGAUGAAUCAUCACCGGAAUAGAGUGGUGAAGGCCCCAUAGAUUAGUGUGAUCAAGUUCUAGUGUAGUUUUGGUUUUGAUUUCAGUAUUAGGAAAAUGAAGCCUAUGAAAUUUACCAAGCUAACAUGCUUCACAAAAGUGCUUUAAUACUUGACUAUGAAUACUUGAAGAGGAUAAAUGAGGAUAAAUAAAUUUAAAUAUACAUUAGAUUUUGAGGGUUGGGAUGUCAAAACUUUUGGUGAAAAAGAGUUAGUACAAGCAUUUUUAUUGAGAUUGAAAACAUUUCUUAAGAUGAUCAAUACUAGUUACAAAAUUGGAAUGAAAAAAAAAAGGCAACAUAGACAAAGGUUUGUUUAUUUGAUUGUAAGAUAGAAAAGACUUGUAUUUAGGUUGUGGAAAGGAUUUGAGCAGCAAUUUAUACAACCUUUUCUCAGCAAAACCUUCCUCUUCAAUGAAUCCUUCACAAAACAAAUAGAUCCAAGAAAUUCGACAAAUAAAUUGUUGUCAAUGGUAAGUUUUGAAAUGCUCAAUAGAUUCUUUGUAAUGGAUGGAACAAACAGUACAUCCUUAAGUAAAAUAUGUCUUAUAUUAUCUUUUUUUAAUUCUUUUUAAAAAAAUAAGUGAAUAAUAGUAUGUCAAUCUCAAAUAUCAAUAUGUACAAUUUUUAUUUGUGUAAGAAUUUGCAUCCAAUAAUCAUCAAUACAUAAUUGUCUUUUAAUUGAAUGGUUCUCACCUCCCUUCCAAACUUUGAAAAGGUAAAAUAAGAUCAAUCAUGUCAGUGGCAAUUAAUAUAAAGAUUACUUUUCUUAUUUGUAGUAACGUCCUCUGAUUAUUUAGCUGAUUUUCAAGCUACACAUUUAUUCCAUUUGAUGUUGAUAUUAGUAAAAUUAAUGUAAUAUUUAAAAAGGAAAAAAAUCCGUCGAGCUAAAAGCCGAGUAUAAAAUUGAACCAGACCCAAACCAGAAACGCACGCCAACAACAUGUUUGCGUCAGUCGGCCCAUGCCCAUAAACCCACCAAGCCCGAUCCAAAUAGAAAAAUGAAUUGGACACCCGAGAUAGCAGAAACAGAUAAGUAACGGUCGUGCUAUCCCCAAUCUCAUAUCUUCAACGGUAUCCAGCCAACAUCUCAAAGUGUUCAAUUUUUUUUUAAGCCAAAAAAAAAUUCAAAAUUUUCAAGCGGAAUCUGGGAAGAUAGCGAUGAAAAGCAAGAUUCUGGUUAUCGGCGGAACCGGAUACAUCGGUAAGUACUUAAGGUGCGUUUGAAAUUGAGGUUGAGCAACUAUAACUUUAAAACUGCAGCACUAAAAUAUUUGGUAAACACUAAUUGUUGUAACUUAAAAGCUAUUUAAUAUAAUUUUUCACUUGUAUAAUAAAAAAUUUAUUAUCUUUAAUAAUUUUGUCAAAAUUAUUAUUUAAAAUAUAUACAGUAAGAGAGAUUGUAACAUUUUCAAUCUUUGGUUUGAUAUUCUGGAAGAAAACGAUUUGCCGUUUAUGGAGAAAACUGCUAACCGUUUAAUUUCAGAGAGCAUGUUUUCUAUUCUAGAGAAAACGGCUAACCGUUUGGAGAAAACGGCUAACCGUUUGGAGAAAAUGGCUAACCGUUUGGAGAAAACGGCUAACCGUUUAAUUCCAGAGAGCAUGUUUUCUGUUCUAGAGAAAAUGACUAACCGUUUGGAUAAAACGGCCAACCAUUAAUUACAGAGAGCAACUUAUUUGACAUUCUGGAAUAAAACGGCUCACCGUUAUUGAGAAAACGGCUAACCGUUUAUUUCCAGAGAGCGUGUUUUUGCGUCAACUGGAAAAACGGUUAGCAAGCUUAGAAAUUUCAAUUGUCAAUCGAUGCAAACUCAAACCAAAAGAGUGUUUUUUUGAAGAAGUACUAUUUUUAAUGGUUGUAUUCUUUCAAAUAAACAUCUUCUUUAUUAAAGAUAGACAAACUAUUAUAUCAUAAUUAGAUUUUGCAGGUUUCAUAUAUGUUCUGGAAAUACAAUCUUAUUUUUUAGAGAUUGUAUUCAGGAUUUGAUAUAUCUUAGGGGUAAUUUGCCAUUAAAACUCUAUAGCAAACCAAGAUUGGUGAGGGUAAAUAAAACCUUAAAGAAAAAUGUGCAAACACGUCUCAAAUCCUAAGAAAUUUUCUUUGUUCUUUGCCUCCAUAUUCUUAAAAUUUGAAAAUUCACCCAUCAAUCUUUAAGGUUUUAUUUUGAUGCAAAUAGAGGCUGAGAAGAGUUUGACGUCAUUUCUUAAUCCUAGUGUCCAUCUCGAUCGUUUUGAUGGAACAAAUUUCACUCGUUGGAAGGAAAAAUUGUUCUUUCUUCUUACUGUUCUUAAAGUGGCAUAUGUUCUUAAUCCGAAAUUGGAACCAUUUCCAGAACCAAGGGAAGAUGAUACCGAAGUUGUUAAGGCUGUAAGGAAACGUCGUGAAGAUGAUGAAUUGAUGUGCCGGGGUCACAUACUCAAUACGCGUUCUGACAGGUUAUAUGAUCUCUACAAUUUUAUGACUUCUUCGAUGGAAAUUUGGAAUGCUCUUGAGUACAAAUACAAAACGGAGAAAGAAGGUACUGACAAAUUCCUUGUCUCUAAAUAUUUUGAAUUUAUUAUGGUAGACACACAAUCCAUUCUUGAUCAAAUACAUGAGUUAUAAAUUAUUGUUGCUAAGCUUCGAGAGUUAAAAGUUAAAAUUUCUGAAUCAUUUCAAGUUGGGACUAUUAUUGCUAAAUUGCCUCAAAGUUGGAAUGAUUAUAGAAAGAAACUCCUUCAUAGUAAAGAGAACAUAACUUUAGAAGAAUUGCAAAAACACUUGGUAAUUGAAGAAGAGACUAGGUCUCGCGAAUCCAAGGAUAAACAUGAUUCUACUAAAGUUAAUGUUCUUGAAGCUAGUAAAUUCUCAAAGAAUUUUAAAGUCAAGAAUGACAAGAAAUUUAAGAGGUCCAGCACACAAAAGUUUUCUGGAAAUUGUUUCUUUUGUGGUAAGAAAGGUCAUCGCCAAAGUGAUUGCAGAUUCAAGAAAAAAAAAGAAGAAGUGAAUUCCUAUAAAGCUAAUGUUAUUGAAAACAAAUCUGAAAAGAUUUGUGCUAUGGUUUCUGAAAUACAAAUUGGCAUGAUUAUCGAAACCAAUAUGGCUGAAACUAAGUCCUAUGAUUGGUGGCUCGAUUCGGGUACAACAAUUCAUGUUUGUAAUGAUAAGAAAUUUUUAUUAUCAUACAAAGAAGAAACGGAAGGACAAAUGGUUCUCAUGGGGAACAAUAAUGCAGCCAUAGUAGCAGGGAAAUGAGUAGUUGAGAUCAACUUCACUUCUAGAAAGAAAGUCACAUUGUAUAAUGUCUUUCAUGUACCUUCCGUUAGGAAGAAUCUUAUUUCUGCUAGUUGUAUGUGUAAGCAUGGGCUUAAGAUUGUGCUUGAGGGUAAUACUUGUAUUAUCUCAAAGAAUGAAUUAUUUGUUGGGAAAGGGUAUUCUUGUGAUGGAAUGUACAAACUCAACAUUAAUAAUAAUAAUAUCAACUUAGCUUAUAUUGUUGAGUCUUGUGAUGUUUGGCAUGCUAAAUUAGCACAUUUGAAUUUUAGAUCUUUGAAAUACAUGUCUGAGCAUGGUUUGAUUAAUUGCAAUGAUGUUAAAGGUCAUAAGUGUGAAAUCUGCAUCCAAGCUAAAUUAACUAAGAAACAUUUUCUUAAAGCCGAACGAAAUACUCAAAUAUUGGAUUUAAUAUAUACCGAUAUUUGUGAGUAUAAUGGCGUUUUAACAAGAGGAGGUAAGAAGUACUUUAUCCCUUUUAUUGAUGAUUGUUCUAGAUACACUUAUAUGUAUUUACUUAGAACAAAAAAUGAAGCUUUUGAUAAAUUUAAAAUUUUCAAAGCUGAAGUUGAGAACCAAAAAGAUAAGAAAAUCAAAAUGGUUCGUAGUGAUAGAGGUGGUGAAUAUUUCUCAAUUGAAUUUAAUAAUUAUUGUGAAGAAUUUGGAAUUAUUCACCAAAGAUCAGCUCCAUUUACUCCUCAACAAAGUGGUUUGGCUGAAAGAAAGAAUAGGAUCUUCACGGAUAUGAUAAAUUCCAUGAUCCAUAAUGCAAAACUACCAAAUAAUUUGUGGGGGGAAGCAUUACUCACUGCAUGUCAUAUUCAUAACAGAAUUACAUCUUUGAAAACACAUAUAUCUCUUUAUGAAAUUUGGAAAGGAAGAAAACCAAACUUGAUGUAUUUAAGGGUCUAGGGUUGUUUAGCUUUUUAUAAAAUACAUGAUCCUAAAUCAUCAAAGUUAAGUGCUAGAUGUAUAAAGAGUGUUUUCGUAGGAUAUGCUGAAAAUUCUAAGGCUUAUAGGUUGUUAGAUUUAGAUUAUAAUGUGAUUGUGGAAUCUAGAGAUGUUGAAUUUAUUGAGAAUAAAUUUCAACAUGAUUCUAAUAUUGAAUUAGAAUCAAUUAUUGAUCAACCAUGUGUUAAUACUCCUGUUACCUCCACUAACAAUAAUAAAAGGAAAGAGUCUAUGACAUCUUUCGAACCAAUGAGGAGUCAACGUGAAAAGAAAGAAAAGAGUUUAGCUCCGGAUUUUAUUUCAUCACAAGCACUACUCUUCUUGGUUGAAGGGGAUAGAAAGAAUGUACUUAACAAAGUACCAUUAUUGUUAAAUAUUGAAAAAGAUCCAAAGACAUUUAGCGAAGCUAUGUCUUCUAGAGACGCUUCUUUUUAGAGAGAGGCGGUAAAUGAUGAAAUUGAUUCGAUUAUUUCGAAUCAAACAUGGGUCUUGGUUGAUCUUCCUCCAGGAUCUAAACCAAUUAGCAGCAAAUGGGUAUUUAGAAGAAAGUACAAUAGUGAUGGUUCUUUGCACACUUUUAAGGCUAGAUUAGUAGCCAAAGGGUUUAAGCAAAGAAAUGGUAUUGAUUAUUUCGAUACAUAUGCUUCGGUAGCAAGGUUAACUUCUAUAAGAGUGCUAUUUGCAAUUGCUUCAUUGAACAAUUUGUAUGUGCAUCUAAUGGAUGUUAAAACCGCUUUUCUUAAUGGUGAUCUUGAUGAAGAAAUCUAUAUGGAACAACCUGAGGGAUUUGUUUUACCAGGAAAUGAGAAAAAAGGUAUGCAAAUUAGUCAAAUCACUUUAUGGUUUAAAGCAAGCACCAAAACAAUGGCAUGAGAAGUUUGAUUCGGUAAUUUUAUCUCAUGGUUUUAAGCAUAAUAAUGCUGAUAAAUGUAUAUAUUUUAAAUUUACGAAUGAUUUUGGUGUGAUUAUAUGCUUGUAUGUUGAUGACUUGCUUAUCUUUGGGACAAAUAUGCAAGGAGUAGAUGAUACAAAGAAGUAUUUAACUUCACAAUUUAAGAUAAAAGAUCUUGGUGAAGUAGAUACUAUCUUAGGUGUCAAAGUGAAGAAACAUAGUGAGGGUUACUCGUUGUGUCAAUCUCAUUAUAUAGAGAAAGUGCUUCUUAAAUUCAAUUAUUUGAAAUUUAAAGAAGCUAAUACCCCAUAUGAUUCUAGUAUUAAAUUAUUAGAGAAUUCAGGCCGAGUAGUAGCACAACUAGAAUAUGCUAGUGCUAUUGGUAGCUUGAUGUAUGCUAUGCAUUGUACGAGGCCUGAUAUAGCAUUUGCAGUUUGCAAAAUGUCAAGAUUCACGAGUAACCCUAGUGUUGAACACUGGAAAGCAAUUGGUAGAAUACUUGGUUAUCUUAAAAGGACCAUUCAUUUGGGUUUAUUUUAUAAUGAUUAUCCUGAAGUACUGGAAGGAUAUUCAGAUGCUAGUUGGGUAACCAAUACAAGAGAUAAUAAAUCCACUUCUGGUUGGAUUUUUACAAUUGUUGGAGGAGCAGUUUCCUGGGCUUCAAAGAAACAAACGUACAUAACUCAUUCAACAAUGGAAAGUGAGUUUAUAGCACUCGCAGUUGCAAGCAAGGAAGUAGAAUGACUGAGAAAUUUGUUGUUUGAUAUAAUGUUAUGGCCACAACCGAUGCCAUAUAUUUCUUUGUACUGCGAUAGUGAAGCUACAUUGUCUAGAGCUUAUAAUAAAGUGUAUAAUGGAAAGUCUAGACAUAUUAGCUUGAGACAUGAAUAUGUGAAACAAUUAAUAGCAGAUGGUGUUAUUAAUAUUGUUUAUGUUAGGACUAAUAAGAACCUAGCGGAUCCUUUAAUAAAAGGUCUUACAAGAGACUUAGUUAAGGAUACAUCUUUUGGAAUGGGAUUGAAACCUUUAAAUAAUAAAGUCACCAACGACGAUAACCCAACUAUGUAGUAGUUGUACCGCUACUCCAUAGUUAAAUGGAUAAUAACAAGUUGUUGUUAUGUGACUGGUUUGGCACCGAGUAAUAAAUAAUCACAUUCGAGAUAUUCGGUGCAAAUAGCUACGAGGUUGAGGUUGAGUAUUUAUUCUUAAUGAAGUUCAAGUCUUAUAGUAGCUAAAGACAUGAUUUGAAACUUCACCUAAGUGAACAUAAGAAAUGGUGCCGUUUCUAACAAGAUCAUGGUUUAAUCUAGUAAAUGUUCAUGAAUUCAAGAUAGAGCACAAGGCCGGAAUAGUGCUAAAUAUUGGAACACAACUUUGAAAAUCUGGGAUAGCUUAUAUGUGAUGUAUCUCCGGUAUUUACUUAAGAGACAAAGUUUAAUGCUUAGCACAUUAUUGUCUUGUAAAUGCUUUGAAAUACACUCACUAAUUAAAGGUUAAAAUCGAAAGAUAUCUUUUUGUAUGUAUAAGUUUAUCAUUAAUAAAUAUGAAAAAUAUUACAAUCUAGUGGGGGAUUGUAAGAGAGAUUGUAACAUUUUCAAUCUUUCGUUUGAUAUUCUGGAAGAAAACGGUUUGCCGUUUAUGGAGAAAACGGCUAACUGUUUAAUUCCAAAUAGCAUGUUUUCUGUUCUAGAGAAAACGACUAACUAUUUGGAGAAAAUGGCUAACUGUUUAAUUCUAGAGAGCAUGUUUUCUGUUCUAGAGAAAGCGGCUAACCGUUUGGAUAAAACGACCAACCGUUAAUUACAGAGAGCAACUUAUUUGACAUUCUGGAAUAAAACGGCUCACCGUUAUUGAGAAAACGGCUAACCGUUUAUUUCCAGAAAGCGUGUUUUUGCGUCAAUUGGAAAAACGGUUAGCAAGCUUGGAAAUUUCAAUUGUCAAUCGAUGCAAACUCAAACCAAAAGAGUGUUUUUUUGAAGAAGUACAAUUUCUAAUGGUUGUAUUCUUUCAAAUAAACAUCUUCUUUAUUAAAGAUAGACAAACAAUUAGAUCAUAAUCAGAUUUUGCAGGUUUCAUAUAUGUUCUGGAAAUACAAUAGAUCAUAAUCAGAUUUUGCAGGUUUCAUAUAUGUUCUGGAAAUACAAUCUUAUUUGCUAGAGAUUGUAUUCAUGAUUUGAUAUAUCUUGGGGGUAAUUUACCAUUAAAACUCUAUAGCAAACCAAGAUUGGUGAGGACAAAUAAAACCUUAAAGGAAAGUGUGCAAACACGUCUCAAAUCCUAAGAAUUGUUUUUUGUUCUUUGCCUCCAUAUUCUUAAAAUUCGAAAAUUCACCCAUCAUAUACAUACUACAUAUUAUUAACUUUUGUUUUAUAACUAUAGUGUUUUUUUUUUACCGCAACUGUAGUUUAAAAACUACAGCACCUCAAUCCCAAACAAGACCUUAGUGGAAGCGAGCGCAAAAGCCGAUCACCCAACAUUCGCGCUUGUGAGAGACUCCACUCUCUCCACUCAUUCCAAAUCCAAAAUCCUCGACCGUUUCAAAAAUCUCGGCGUCAAUUUAGUUCUUGUGCGCCACUCUUUUAGCUUUCCAAUUUUCCCGCCAAUUUUCUUUUAUUGUGAUUAAUUAAUUAAUUAAUUAAUUAAAGUAAAGAUUUUAUAUUAUAAUUUUGUUUGCAGGGAGAUCUAUACAGCCAUGAGAGCUUGGUGAGUGCAAUAAAGCAAGUGGAUGUUAAGGUAAUGAUUAACUUAAGUAAAUGCGUUAACUAAUUACUUGGGAUUUUAAAUUCAAAUGCGUGAAUUGUUCUAAAAAAUGAUUUAUGUUUAUUAGUCAGAGAUUCUUUCCUUCAGAAUUUGGAAAUGAUGUUGAUCGCGUGCAUGCCGUUGAGCCAGCAAGAACAUCAUUUGCCACCAAGGCUAAAAUCCGCCGAGCUGUUGAGGCUGAAGGAAUUCCAUACACCUACGUAGCUUCCAAUUUCUUCGCUGGUUUGUAUCUUUCCAGUUUCUCACAGCCUGAAGCCACAGCUCCUCCAAGGGAUAAAGUGGUCAUCGUAGGUGAUCGAAAUGCAAAAGGCAAAGCGCUUCUGGAUACAUUUACUCUGUACACGCAAUGUGUGGUUACUGUUUGGGGAUAAAAAAGGAGAUUAAUUAAUAAAGAAAAUGAAAUUAUUGAGGGAUUUGCUGAAGAGUUGCGUGCACUCCUCAUUUUUCUCCACCACUCAUCUUACUUGCAAAAUGCAAUGACCAAACUAUCCUCGCCAAAGCCUAGACAUUUACUUGUGUUCAAAGGCCAUUUAAGAGAGACAAGUACAAAAAAUUAUAAAGGAUAGUGAGCAAAAGAAGAAAAUGGAAGGAGGGGAGAAUAAAAAAUGGGAGUGGGGCGUUAUCUAGGGAGGAUUUUUAUUUUUAUUUUUUUUCCUCUCUUCUCCAUGGCAUCUCUUUCUCUCUUUCUCCCACUAAGAAAUUCUUUCUUUUACACUCUAUUUUACUUUUAUUCAAAUUACACAAAAAACUUUUGGUUUUAAGGCAAUGUUUAUUAAGCCACGUGAAUUUGAAAAAGCAGGAAUAAGGGGAUGAUUUUAACACAUUAAUUCACCAACAUUAAUUGGAAAAGAUCAGUUGCCACUUCGAAUCAGAGUAAUUUCUUCGGCAAUAGCCAAAUAUUGAUAUUUGAUCUUGACACUGUAGUUAAAUCAAUGUAACUGGUUUUGUCAUUUGAUCCCCAGUAAUUUUUAACAAGGAAGACGAUAUUGGAAUUAAUUCUAUCAAAGCGGUGGAUGAUCCGAGAACACUGAACAAAAUACUUUACAUCAGACCCCGUUGCAAUAUCUACUCAUUUAAUGAUCUUGUGUCUCUGUGGGAGGAAAAGAUUGGCAAAGCCCUUGACAGGGUCUAUGUUACAGAGGAACAACUUCUGAAAAACAUUCAAGGUUAGUUAGAACUAUCACUUUAUCAAGUGCAUAGAUGUAACUGACCGAUAAUGGAAUUUUUUUUCCUUCUCCAAAAUGCGAUAGAAUCUAAUCGGUUUCAACAAUCUCAAGAACACCUAUUCAUGGUUGUGUUGUUUGAAAUCUGUAUGUAUCAGUUUUCUUUCUAGAUCUCAGAUUGCUCGCAAGGAUGUCAAGUUUUGAUGAUGCUUGCCUGUUUUCCUGUGUUUACAGAAGCUUCAUAUCCACUCAAUAUGAUAUUACCUAUUGGGCACUCUGCCUAUGUCCUGGGAGAUCAGACCAACUUCGAAAUUGAACCUUCAUUUGGAGUAGAGGCAACAGAGCUUUAUCCAGAUGUCAACUACACUACUGUGGAUGAGUACCUCAACCAGUUCAUAUAAACCUUCUGAGAUGAGCAGCAGGAUCCUAACAAAAAAUUGGGUGGUUUCCAUCCCUGAUUCUAUGGUAUAAAGAUAGCGGCUUUCCCUGCUUUUGCCAGUUCAAUGAAGUUUGUUAGAUGAUGUUAUUUAUACUAUACUAGCAAAGAUCAAGUUGCCUUUCUUGUCAAGAAGCCAAGCUCUGGCAUUGGUUUAUGCUAGUUUUUCAUGUUUAUUACUUUUUUUGCAUUCAAAAUGAUAAAACUGCAGAGGUUGUUGCAUGCACGUCAUUUGUUAGUAGGGGUAUCAAUUUAUGAACGUAUGAAGUAUCUCUUCUGCAACGGCAUCCUCCUUAACUGUCAGUAGGAUCACAAUAAGUCGACCAACCAUCUACCGUAUGGAUUAUCUAUAAAUUGAAAUUGGUGUGUAUUAUGGAUCUGUCACUCUGCUGUUUCUGUUUUCUUUUCUAUUUUUACCAAGAAAGAAACAUUGUUAAAACUGAAUGGUUGUUAUCUCGUCUUGUUGUAAUGUUGUGUAUGCUUUCUAGAAAAUAAUGAAGUGCCAAAUAUGAAAAUACUAGUGGCUACCUUACCAUCCUUAAUAAGUUGUCUGAUUGUCACCGUCAACAAUCACUCUCAGCAACUCAUAAUCCAUUUAAGCAUAUUAUAAAAUAAUCAAUUUUGUAUUUGCACCAACUUUUAGUUUUAAAUGACAAUUUCGUUGAUCCCCACACUUCUGUACUAAUCAAAUCCACUGAAACUGGACUUUUUUUUCUUUUUUUUUAUAAUUACAUCGAUUGCAUUGGCUAUUGCAGGGAAAAGACUGCCUCUACAGGGAACUAAACUUUCAGAAUUGUUCUUAUGAGGGUUUGAAUAUGCUCUCGUACUAGGUCAAUGGCCUAUUGGUUCGAGACCAUUCACAAAGAAAGAAAUGAGUUUUGCUUGUAUAAAUGAAAGAAAUCCAAAUGAUAACUAAUGUAUAGUGGUACAUGAGAAAAAUAAUUUCAGCCCGUGUAAAGUCAAAAAGAGAAAAUAUUAAAAGAAAGGAUAAUGUCAUUGAGUUCGGUGAAGUGAAAGAAAAUGAAAAACAUGGGAUUUAGUCAAACUUAGUGUCCCAAUCAGCAGAAAAAGGUUUUAGAAACUCACCUCAAGUUAAGCCAACUAUUAGGAGCUUUAUUUAAUCAUGACUUUCUAAUGUAUAGUACUCCAAUACUAAACGAGGGCUACCUCUACGCUUGCAAUUGUAAAUGAAAUUGAGUUCGUGACGCACAAUGAAGUGAGCAAAAUGAGUUGAGAUCUGAGAAUAUAUUAAAGAAAAUAUGAAUCAAUGAAUUUUGGUUAAAAAAAACAAAUGCUGGUUCUUCAAGACCUGCGUGUAUUGUGUAAGUUUUGUUAGGAGAAGGAAAGCAUUUUGGUCUAAAACGCACUAAAUCGGAUUCAUUUGCUUGAUAUCUAAUAAGGGUGAAUUAACCACUCGCCCACAGCAAUUCAAGUCCCAAAAAAAUUAUUGUGGGGGCUAAAUUUCUUCUUUAAUUAUAACAAAUAAUUGAGUGGAGGAUAAAAAUUUAGGCCAUGUAUAACAAUAACUAAUAUAAACUAGUCCUAAUAAUAGUAUAAUUGUAAAUAUCAGUUGUAGUCUCAUACAAUAUAAGUUUAUAGAUUAUAAUAUCGGCAUAAAAAGAAAAAUGAUAUCUGACGGUCAAUCAAUAAAAGGACAAAAACUUGGAGUAACAUACCACAAAGUCAAUGUAGCUGGACAGAUGAAUAUAAUAUGUAAACAAAUUUAAAUGGGAUAAUACCAUACGGUACAUACAUAACAUUUUAAAACUGAAUUAAAAAAAUAAAAUUAAAACUGAAUUGGAAUUCGUAUGUGUAUCCAGCUACCUUGCAACAGUUGUAAGGUACCCUAACUUUGCAACAAUUUCAUCCUUCGUGCAUUCGGUCACAAAGUCCAAAUUAGGCACGUUUAAGAAUCGAACUGAAAAACUAAAAAAAAAGAAUCCGGCGAUAUUUGCGAACCGGAAACGAGCCAGCGUUAUGCUUAUGUCAUUUCAGAGAUAUCAACAGUCGUGCUUUCAGUCCUUAAACCUCAAGGGCAUUUUCGUCCUUUCACUCAAGCGUGAAACUGCAUGUAAGAACUGCUUCGCUUACACGCUCCAUGCACAUUUAAAGGCACCACUGUCGGAUAAAAAAUAUCCAUCCAUUUGAUCAUUUCAAAACAAAACGAAAAAAAAAAUCUCAGUAAUUGAACUGAACGAGUCUCAGAAAUGGCAUCGAAAAGUAAGAUUCUAUUCAUCGGCGGGACAGGGUAUAUCGGUAAAUUCACUGUCGAAGCGAGCGUAAAAGCCGGCCACCCGACGUUCGUGCUCGUGAGAGAAUCCACAAUCUCUGGUCCUUCCAAAUCUCAACUCCUCGAUCACUUCAAAAACCUCGGCGUCAAUCUUGUCAUAGUGCGUUUUCAUUUUUCUCUUUUCUUUAUUUUUUAUUCCGAUCAUUUUUACACGUCGAAGUGUAGCAUCUACUACUUAAUAUACAUAAUGAUAUUAUUAUUUUUUAAUUUUUUUGGGUUGCUGUUAUUAUUAUACAGGGAGAUGUGUUGAAUCACGAGAGUUUGGUGAAGGCGAUAAAACAAGUGGACGCGGUGAUAUCAACAGUUGGUCACACUUUAAUAGCCGAUCAGGUCAAGAUUAUUGCUGCCAUUAAAGAAGCCGGUAACGUUAAGGUAUGACAUAAUUAAUGUAAAUGUCUUAGAUUUCGAUCAGGAUUGUGCACUCGUGCACACGUGGUGAUUUAUUCUUCGUGUGGAGCUCGCUGUAGAGUAGAGCUCCCAGUUCCGCUAAUAAACACCCGUCAGAUGCGCAAUUGCGCCUCAAAAUAAUUUAAUUAAUUAAUUAGGUAUAAACACCGAUGGCAUGAAAGCAAUUAAAAUUAGUUGAUGUUUAUAAAUUAUUUAUUACUCAGAGAUUCUUACCAUCGGAAUUUGGAAAUGAUGUUGAUCGAGUCGAAGGCGCCGUAGAGCCAACAAAAUCGACGUAUGACGUAAAGGCGAAAAUCCGCCGAGCCGUUGAGGCAGAAGGCAUUCCGUACACUUACGUAGAAUCUUAUUGUUUUGAUGGGUAUUUCCUCCCCAAUUUGUUGCAGCCUGAGGCCACUGCCCCCCCUAGGGAUAAGGUUGUCAUCUUAGGCGAUGGAAAUCCAAAAGGUAAUAUAAUUUAAUUAAGCUCUGUUUGUUUGGUAUGUAUUGCGGUGUUAAUGUUAUUGUCUGUUGUACAAUGGAUGGUCUUGCUUGGUACUGUUGUUGGAGAGCUGCAGUGUUUUGAUAAACACCUCUAUAGUCUAUCCUUAUCCUUAGCUUUCAAGUUAAGUUGAUUUUAUACAACACUUGUUUAAUUAAAAACUUGUAAUAUUCUUACUACUUUGAUAAAAAAAAUAUUACGAUUAAAGUAUUAAUGGCACCAUAAUACGAAAUGAAUCUUAAGUGGUCAUUAUAGAUUUUAAGAUAGAGUUUUAAGUGAUUACCAGAUACUUUAGCUGCUGAACCGCCACAUCAUGGUUGCCACACAACAAUUUCAAACAGAACCUAAAUAACUUCAUUGCAAAACAGUUAAAUGAAUCUAACUUAGUUUCGUCGUUUGAUUUUCAGCUGUUUUUAACAAGGAAGAUGAUAUUGGAACCUACACUAUCAAAGCGGUUGAUGAUCCGAGAACCUUGAACAAAAACUUUUACAUUCAGCCUCCCGGUAAUAUUUACUCAUUCAAUGAUCUUGUGUCUCUGUGGGAGAGAAAGAUUGGUAAAACCCUCGAAAAGGAGUAUGUUUCAGAGGAGCAGCUCCUAAAGAAUAUUCAAGGUUGGUUAAAACUCUCUUUUUUAAAUGUAUUAAAGAGAGCCGUAUAUUCUCUGCCGUAAAUGUUAUUGAUCCUGUCUUCUCCAAAAUGUUGCAGAAGCUGCACCUCCACACAAUGUGAUAUUAUCAAUUUAUCACUCUGCUUUCGUGAAGGGAGUUCAAACCAACUUCAAGAUUGAACCAUCUUUUGGAGUUGAAGCCUCGCAGCUUUAUCCUGAUGUCAAGUACACUACAGUUGAUGAGUACCUCAAUCAGUUUGUGUAACCCUUCUCUGUUUCCAGCUGCAGCUUGCAGGAUCUUGGACUCUUGGUAAAUAAAUAAUUGGCUUGUUGCCAUCUUUGGUUUUAUAUGUAAAAAUUAUGGUUGUUGGCCUUACUUUCUUCUGGUUGUCCAUGGAAUUUGUUAGACCAUAUUAUGUUUGCUAUGUCAGUGAUCAAAUGAAGUAGGCCAUGUACUUGAUUUGAGAGUAGUAGUUAUAAAAAGCCAUCAUGAUCAGGUGGGUGCGUGGGUUGGGCUUCUAUUAGGGUGCGUGUGUUGGGCUUCAGGGGCUUGUGAUAUGGGUUCGACAGCCCCUAACGGGCAGUCAUUAUAAAAAUAAUUAUAGAGUUACAAAUCUAUGUAAAAAGCAAAAAUUAAAAGUAAUUUAUCAAUAAAAAUAAUUAAAAUUAAUAAAAAGUAGGUAUGAUAUUUCAGAAAUUAAAUUAAAGAUAGCAUUCUAAAGAGUUGGAUAAUCCUCCAACUAAACUAAAGAUCUAGUACAUUUGAGAGCAAAUUUAAUUAAAGAAAAGGAUAAGGAAAAACAAUAGAAUAAUAAUAUUAAAAAUUGCAAAUCUUGGUCUUUUUUUUUUACGAUGAUGUUGAUUUCUUAUAAAUUUAAUCUUAUCUAUAGAAUUAUUUAGUUACUGUAUGUCAAAAUUUCCUAUAAAGAUGAAGAAAAAUUAUAUUAGGAGAAGAUCCAAAUCCGUUUAACUGAUGCAUCAUCAACAACAUGAGUACAACAUUUUCGAAUAAACAAAAGAAACUCGUUUUAUGUGCGAACCAGUUCCAAAAUAAAGAGCAGACUAUUGGAAGGAGACAAAUACUACAAGAAGAACAAAACAUUCUACAGUUCCUACAUGAGCCCGCAACAAUUAAUUAUUAACUCGACAUUCAUUACACUUUUUCUUUAAUUUGACAAAGAAACCAAAAAUAAGAUAAAAUUGACUAAGAAAUAAAAAAAUGACCAAAAUCUUUUUGAAGUUUUGCCAGUUCAGCCAUGCACGCUUAUCUUUAUUCACUUGUUUCCUUUCUUUCCUGGAGCCUUCACAAAUCCUUUACCUUUCUGAGCCUUGCCAAUUUUCCCCUUCUUCAAACCACCUGGCCUUGCUGGAUCCACGUGUCCUUGCAUCCUUUUUCAUUCGUGGAUCAACAAGAAUCUCCCCCUUUCCAACUCUCUCUUGAACUCCUUUCUUUGCGACCAUGUAUUCUUUUGUAGGCCUUUUGGGUAUAGUUGUCUUGUAUAAUUGUUCAAUUUGAUUCCUCUUCGAACGAUCAGAGAUGUCCGCUUAGUCUAAUAUGACAUUUGCCUUCUUGCGAACCUUCUCAAGAUUUCGCAUGGCAACCCGUAUCUUUCGAGCUUUGGUCUUAGCCACCUUCUUGGCAAUAAGGGUGGGCGAUUCGGUUUUGGGAUAAACUUUUGGUUUCGUAUCGGUUUAGAUUCAAAAAUAGUAUAAAAAAAUAUUUAGAUUUUAUGGGAAAAAAUCUGAACCGAAACUGACCUAUCGAUUUCGUCUCGGUUUCAGUUUAGUUUCGAUUCUCCUAAUAGUUUUGUUUUGCCUUAUUGACUUCCGGUCAAGGACACUUUUGAAAAAUUUACAAACAAAAAAAAAUUGGCCAUAACAAAAUUUCUAUAUGUAAAUAUUUCCUAAACAUUGGGCUAUACUAAAUUUUUUUAAAAGGUAGGGAUCCAAACGAUAUUAUCCCUCUACUUCAUCUUCAACCUUCGUCACUUAGCAGCUACCACAGUAUCGAAAUGGAAAAACUAAAAAAGCACCGUAGGAUACGCAUAUCCACACAUAUCUAAUAAAACUAAAUAUUAUUAAUAAUUUAGUAUAGUAAUAAUAAAACAAGACAAACAUGAAAUUAGAAAAGACUAAAGAGCUUUUUAAGAAAAAAGCCAUUUAAAAAACGAAAAAUAGCAAGUUAUUUGGCUAGUUAACUGGCGACAGAAGUAAUGGAAAGAAGCAACAACGGCAGCGGCAGGUCAACAACGAAGAUUCAGCAGCACCGACCACCCACAGACUUGGAUUCGAUUGCAAAGUUGGGACUUAGGAUUUGGGUUUGUGGCUGCUGAAAUUGAAAGCGAGAGAGUAGAAAGUAGAGACUGAGAGUGGUGCAAACAUGUGUAAUUCUGUGUGUGUGUGUGUCUAUAUAUAUAUAUAUAUAUAUAUAUAUAUAUAUAUAUAUAUAUAUAAUGUGAAAUUAUAAAAAUGCCAUUAUAUCGGUUCGAUUCGAAUUUUGUAACUUGUGAUCCGAAAACUGAACCAAAUCGAAUCAUUUGGUUUGGUAUUUAUAUAUUCGGGUUUUUAAUUUAAAAAAAACUAAAUUAAAACUGAAAAAACCAGAACCGAAUUUUUUUUUUUUUUUUUGUUUCGGUUCAAUUCUGCCCAUCCCAACUUAGUAGGCUGGGCAUCAAUUUCUUUGAAUUGUGCUUUCAUUGCAGUAAUCUCCUCCUUGGUAAUAGGUUUAAUUGCUUACUGAUGCCUCAUUUCCUCUAGUAACAACUAGUCUAACAAGUCAUCAUCGUCAAACAUGUACCUAUUAUAAGCAUCAUCCAGAAUUUGCUCUCUUUGCAUUUUGCUUAGUGUCUUCUUUGCACAAGCUAAUAUCUCAGCUUUUUGUAUCAAUAUCUUUAUCUUUUGAUUCACCAGCGGAUGAAUCAUCACCGGAAUAGAGUGGUGAAGGCCCCAUAGAUCAGUGUGAUCAAGUUCUAGUGUAGUUUUGGUUUUGAUUUCAGUAUUAGGAAAAUGAAGCCUAUGAAAUUUACCAAGCUAACAUGCUUCACAAAAGUGCUUUAAUACUUGACUAUGAAUACUUGAAGACGAUAAAUGAGGAUAAAUAAAUUUAAGGCAAAUGUUAUGUUACAAUUAAUGUAACAUACACACUCAAUAACAACCACACAAAUUUUGUGGGCCCAUUAUUUGUGUGGUUGUUGUUGAGUGUGUAUGUUACAUUAAUUGUAACAUAGGGGCUCCCUAAAUUUAAAUAUGCAUUAGAUUUUGAGGGUUGGGAUGUCAAAACUUUUGGUGAAAAAGAGUUAGUACAAGCAUUUUUAUUGAGAUUUAAAACAUUUCUUAAGAUGAUCAAUGCUAGUUACAGAAUAGGAAUGAAAAAAAAAGGCAACAUAGACAAAGGUUUGUUUAUUUGAUUGUAAGAUAGAAAAGACUUGUAUUUAGGUUGUGGAAAGGAUUUGAGCAGCAAUUUAUACAACCUUUUCUCAGCAAAACCUUCCUCUUCAAUGAAUCCUUCACAAAACAAAUAGAUCCAAGAAAUUUGACAAAUAAAUUGUUGUCAAUGGUAAGUUUUGAAAUGCUUAAUAGAUUCUUUGUAAUGGAUGGAACAAACAAUACAUCCUUAAGUAAAAUAUGUCUUAUAUUAUCUUUUUUUUUAAUUAUUUUUAAAAAAUAAGUGAAUAAUAGUAUGUCAAUCUCAAAUAUCAAUAUGUACAAUUUUUAUUUGUGUAAGAAUUUGCAUCCAAUAAUCAUCAAUACAUAAUUGUCUUUUAAUUUAAUUGUUCUCACCUCCCUUCCAAACUUUGAAAAGGUAAAAUAAGAUCAAUCAUGUCGGUGGCAAUUAAUAUAAGGAUUACUUUUCUUAUUUGUAGUAACGUCCUCUGAUUAUUUAGCUGAUUUUCAAGCUACACAUUUAUUCCAUUUGAUGUUGAUAUUAGUAAAAUUAAUGUAAUAUUUAAAAAGGAAAAAAAUCCGUCGAGCUAAAAGCUGAGUAUAAAAUUGAACCCGACCCAAACCAGAAACGCACGCCAACAGCAUGCUUGCGUCAGUCGGCCCAAGCCCAUAAACCCACCAAGCCCAAUCCAAAUAGAAAAAUGAAUUGGAUGCCCGAGAUAGCACAAACAGAUAAGUAACGCUAGCGCUAUCCCCAGUCUCAUAUCUUCAACGGUAUCCAGCCAACAUCUCAAAGUGUUCAAUUUUUUUUUGAAGCUAAAAAAAAAAUUCAAAAUUUUCAAGUGGAAUCUGGGAAGAUGGCAACAAAAAGCAAGAUUCUGGUUAUCGGCGGAACCGGAUACAUAGGUAAGUACUUAAGGUGCGUUUGAAAUUGAAGUUGGACAGGUAUAACUUUAAAACUGCAGCACUAAAAUGUUUGGUAAACACUAACUAUUGUAACUUAAAAACUAUUUAAUAUAAUUUUUCACUUGUAUAAUAAAAAAUUUAUUAUAUCUUUAAUAAUUUUAUCAAAAUUAUUAUUUAAAAUAUAUACAUACUACAUAUUAUUAAUUUUUGUUUUAUAACUAUAAUUUUUUUCCUACCGCAACUGUAAUUUAAAAACUACAGCACCUCAAUCCCAAACAAGACUUUAGUGGAUGCGAGCGCGAAAGACGAUCACCCAACAUUUGCGCUUGUGAGAGACUCCACUCUCUCCACUCCUUCCAAAUCCAAAAUCCUCGACCGUUUCAAAAAUCUCGGCGUCAAUUUAGUUCCUGUGCGCCACUCUUUUAGCUUUCCAUUUUUCCUGCCAAUUUUCUUUUAUUGUGAUUAAUUAAUUAAUGUAAAGAUUUUAUAUUAUAAUUUUGUUUUCAGGGAGAUCUAUACAGCCAUGAGAGCUUGGUGAGUGCAAUAAAGCAAGUGGAUGUGGUGAUAUCAGCGAUAGGUCGCACUCAAUUAGCUGAUCAACUCAACAUUAUCGCAGCAAAUUGCGAUAACUAAUUACUUGGGAUUUUAAAGAAGCUGGAAAUGUUAAGGUACUGAUUAACUUAAGUAAAUGCGUUAACUAAUUACUUGGGAUUUUAAAUUCAAAUGCGUGAAUUGUUCUAAAAAAUGAUUUAUGUUUAUUAGUCAGAGAUUCUUUCCUUCAGAAUUUGGAAAUGAUGUUGAUCGCGUGCAUGCCGUUGAGCCAGCAAGAACAUCAUUUGCCACCAAGGCUAAAAUCCGCCGAGCUGUUGAGGCUGAAGGAAUUCCAUACACCUACGUAGCUUCCAAUUUCUUCGCUGGUUUGUAUCUUUCCAGUUUCUCACAGCCUGGAGCCGCAGCUCCUCCAAGGGAUAAAGUGGUCAUCGUAGGUGAUGGAAAUGCAAAAGGCAAAGCGCUUCUGGAUACAUUUACUCUGUACACGCAGUGUGUGGUUACUGUUUAGGGAUAAAAAAGGAGAUUAAUUAAUAAAGAAAAUGAAAUUAUUGAGGGAUUUGCUGAAGAGUUGCGUGCACUCCUCAUUUUUCUCCACCACUCAUCUUACUUGCAAAAUGCAAUGACCAAACUAUCCUCGCCAAAGCCUAGACAUUUGCUUGUGUUCAAAGGCCAUUUAAGGGAGACAAGUACAAAAAAUUAUAAAGGAUAGUGAGCAAAAGAAGAAAAUGGAAGGGGGAGAGUAAAAAAGGGGAGUGGGGCGUUAUCCAGGGAGGAUUUUUAUUUUUAUUUUUUUCCUCUCUUCUCCAUGGCAUCUCUUUCUCUCUUUCUCCCACUAAGAAAUUCUUUCUUUUACACUCUAUUUUACUUUUCUACAAAUUACACAAAAAGCUUUUGGUUUUAAGGCAAUGUUUAUUAAGCCACAUGAACUUGAAAAAGCAUGAAUAAGGGGAUGAUUUUAACACAUUAAUUCACCAACAUUAAUUGGAAAAGAUCAGUUGCCACUUCGAAUCAGAGUAAUUUCUUCGGCAAUAGCCAAAUAUUGAUAUUUGAUCUUGACACUGUAGUUAAAUGAAUGUAACUGGUUUUGUCAUUUGAUCCCCAGCAUUUUUUUAACAAGGAAGACGAUAUUGGAAUCAAUUCUAUCAAAGCGGUGGAUGAUCCAAGAACACUGAACAAAAUACUUUACAUCAGACCCCGUUGCAGUAUCUACUCAUUCAAUGAUCUUGUGUCUCUGUGGGAGGAAAAGAUUGGCAAAGCCCUUGACAGGGUCUAUGUUACAGAGGAACAACUUCUGAAAAACAUUCAAGGUUAGUUAGAACUAUCACUUUAUUCGUUACUGAUGACAACACAUGGAGAAAUUUUCCUUGGUCUUAUCAAGUGGAUAGAUGUAACUGACCGAUAAUGGAAAAUUUUUUCCUUCUCCAAAAUGCGAUAGAAUCUAAUCGGUUUCAACAAUCUCAAGAACAUCUAUUCAUGGUUGUGUUGUUUGAAAUCUGUAUGUAUCAGUUUUCUUUCUAGAUCUCAGAUUGCUCGCAAGGAUGUCAAGUUUUGAUGAUGCUUGCCUGUUUUCCUGUGUUUACAGAAGGCUCAUAUCCACUCAAUAUGAUAUUAUCUAUUGGGCACUCUGCCUAUGUCCUGGGAGAUUAGACCAACUUCGAAAUUGAACCUUCAUUUGGAGUAGAGGCAACCGAGCUUUGUCCAGAUGUCAACUACACUACUGUGGAUGAGUACCUCAACCAGUUCAUAUAAACCUUCUGAGAUGAGCAGCAGGAUCCUAACCAAAAAUUGGGUGGUUUCCAUCCCUGAUUCUAUGGUAUAAAGAUAGCGGCUUUCCAUGCUUUUGCCAGUUCAAUGAAGUUUGUUAGAUGAUGUUAUUUAUACUAUACUAGCAAAGAUCAAGUUGCCUUUCUUGUCAAGAAGCCAAGCUCUGGCAUUGGUUUAUGCUAGUUUUUCACACUAAUAUUGGUAUUCACUAAUUUUUUUUUUUUCAUUUCACACCUCCAUCAUCAGUUGAGAUACCCUCUUGUAUGGUACUAACUUUGAUUUUCCUUAUGCUUCACUUGCUGUCUCUGCAGAUUCGUAAAAGAUCAUUCAUGGAUAAGAUCAGAACAUCAAUGUAAUACAGUAUGCAUUGAGAACUCCCACAUGAGUCUUGUUCUAGUUCUCGUUAGACAUGAAACAUGUUACAGUUCCAUAACUUGAGACAUUGUCAUUCAACAAUUAUCAUCGCAUUAAAACAGUGGCCAAUCCCUAACAGCUACCUUUUGACUCUUCACAUUUUUUUUCUGCAUUUUAUGCGCAUUAAUUAUCCAGACCUAGACUUACUCUUCUCAGCUUGGCCCGUUGGACAGUGAGUGAUGAAACAGAAAAUUUUUCAUGUUUAUGAAUGUAUGAAGUAUCUCUUCUGCACUGCACCGGCAUCCUCCUUAACUGUCAGUAGGAUCACAAUAAGUCGACCAACCAUCUACCGUAUGGAUUAUCUAUAAAUUGAAAUUGGUGUGUAUUAUGGAUCUGUCACUCUGCUGCUUCUGUUUUCUUUUCUAUUUUUACCAAGAAAGAAACAUUGUUAAAACUGAAUGGUUGUUAUCUCGUCUUGUUGUAAUGUUGUGUAUGCUUUCUAGAAAAUAAUGAAGUGCCAAAUAUGAAAAUACUAGUGGCUACCUUACCAUCCUUAAUAAGUUGUCUGAUUGUCACCGUCAACAAUCACUCUCAGAAACUCAUAAUCCAUUUAAGCAUAUUAUAAAAUAAUCAAUUUUGUAUUUGCACCAACUUUUAGUUUUAAAUGACAAUUUCGUUGAUCCCCUCACACUUCUGUACUAAUCAAAUCCACUGAAACUGGACUUUUUUUUUUUUUUUUUUAUAAUUACAUCGAUUGCAAUGGCUAUUGCAGGGAAAAGACAGCCUCUACAGGGAACUAAACUUUCAGAAUUGAUCUUAUGAGGGUUUGAAUAUGCUCUCGUACUAGGUCAAUGGCCUAUUGGUUCGAGACCAUUCACAAAGAAAGAAAUGAGUUUUGCUUGUAUAAAUGAAAGAAAUCCAAAUGAUAACUAAUGUAUAGUGGUACAUGAGAAAAAUAAUUUCAGCCCCUGUGUAAAGUCAAAAAGAGAAAAUAUUAAAAGAAAGGAUAAUGUCAUUGAGUUCGGUGAAGUGAAAGAAAAUAAAAAACAUGGGAUUUAGUCAAACUUAGUGUCCCAAUCAGCAGAAAAAGGUUUUAGAAACUCACCUCAAGUUAAGCCAACUAUUAGGAGCUUUAUUUAAUCAUGGCUUUCUAAUGUAUAGUACUCCAAUACUAAACGAGGGCUACCUCUACGCUUGCAAAUGUAAAUGAAAUUGAGUUCGUGACGCACAAUGAAGUGAGCAAAAUGAGUUGAGAUCUGAGAAUAUAUUAAAGAAAAUAUGAAUCAAUGAAUUUUGGUUAAAAAAAACAAAUGCUGGUUCUUCAAGACCUGCGUGUAUUGUGUAAGUUUUGUUAGGAGAAGGAAAGCAUUUUGGUCUAAAACGCACUAAAUCGGAUUCAUUUGCUUGAUAUCUAAUAAGGGUGAAUUAACCACUCGCCCACAGCAAUUCAAGUACCCAAAAAAGUUUUGUGGGGGCUAAAUUUCUUCUUUAAUUAUAACAAAUAAUUGAGCGGAGGAUAAAAAUUUAGGCCAUGUAUAACAAUAACUAAUAUAAACUAGUCCUAAUAAUAGUAUAAUUGUAAAUAUCAGUUGUAGUCUCAUACAAUAUAAGUUUAUAGAUUAUAAUAUCGGCAUAAAAAGAAAAAUGAUAUCUGACGGUCAAUCAAUAAAAGGACAAAAACUUGGAGUAACAUACCACAAAGUCAAUGUAGCUGGACAGUGAAUAUAAUAUGUAAACAAAUUUAAAUGGGAUAAUACCAUACGGUACAUACAUAACAUUUUAAAACUGAAUUAAAAAAAUAAAAUUAAAACUGAAUUGGAAUUCGUAUGUGUAUCCAGCUACCUUGCCACAGUUGUAAGGUACCCUAACUUUGCAACAAUUUCAUCCUUCGUGCAUUCGGUCACAAAGUCCAAAUUAGGCACGUUUAAGAAUCGAACUGAAAAACUAAAAAAAAGAAUCCGGCGAUAUUUGCGAACCGGAAACGAGCCAGCGUUAUGCUUAUGUCAUUUCAGAGAUAUCAACAGUCGUGCUUUCAGUCCUUAAACCUCAAGGGCAUUUUCGUCCUUUCACUCAAGCGUGAAACUGCAUGUAAGAACUGCUUCGCUUACACGCUCCAUGCACAUUUAAAGGCACCACUGUCGGAUAAAAAAUAUCCAUCCAUUUGAUCAUUUCAAAACAAAACGAAAAAAAAAAUCUCAGUAAUUGAACUGAACGAGUCUCAGAAAUGGCAUCGAAAAGUAAGAUUCUAUUCAUCGGCGGGACAGGGUAUAUCGGUAAAUCCACUGUCGAAGCGAGCGUAAAAGCCGGCCACCCGACGUUCGUGCUCGUGAGAGAAUCCACAAUCUCUGGUCCUUCCAAAUCUCAACUCCUCGAUCACUUCAAAAACCUCGGCGUCAAUCUCGUCAUAGUGCGUUUUCAUUUUUCUCUUUUCUUAAUUUUUUAUUCCGAUCAUUUUUACACGUCGAAGUGUAGCAUCUACUACUUAAUAUACAUAAUGAUAUUAUUAUUUUUUAAUUUUUUUGGGUUGCUGUUAUUAUUAUGCAGGGAGAUGUGUUGAAUCACGAGAGUUUGGUGAAGGCGAUUAAACAAGUGGACGUGGUGAUAUCAACGGUCGGUCACACUUUAUUAGCUGAUCAGGUCAAGAUUAUUGCUGCCAUUAAAGAAGCCGGUAACGUUAAGGUAUAACAUAAUUAAUGUAAAUGUCUUAGAUUCCGAUCAGGAUUGUGCACUCGCGAACACGUGGUGAUUUAUUCUUGGUGUGGAGCUCGCUGUAGAGUAGAGCUCCCAGUUCAGCUAAUAAACACCCCGUCACAUGCGCAAUUGCGCCUCAAAAUAAUUUAAUUGAUUAAUUAAGGAUAAAUACCAAUGGCAUGAAAGCAAUUAAAAUUAGUUGAUGUUUAUAAAUUAUUUAUUACUCAGAGAUUCUUACCAUCGGAAUUUGGAAAUGAUGUUGAUCGAGUUGAAGGCGCCGUAGAGCCAACAAAAUCGACGUAUGACGUAAAGGCGAAAAUCCGCCGAGCCGUUGAGGCAGAAGGCAUUCCGUACACUUACGUAGAAUCUUAUUGUUUUGAUGGCUAUUUCCUCCCCAAUUUGUUGCAGCCUGAGGCCACUGCCCCCCUAGGGAUAAGGUUGUCAUCUUAGGCGAUGGAAAUCCAAAAGGUAAUAUAAUUUAAUUAAGCUCUGUUUGUUUGGUAUGUAUUUCGGUGUUAAUGUUAUUGUCUGUUGUACAAUGGAUGGUCUUGCUUGGUACUGUUGUUGGAGAGCUGCAGUGUUUUGAUAAACACCUCUAUCCUUAGCUUUCAAGUUAAGUUGAUUUUAUACAACACUUGUUUAAUUCAAAACUUGUAAUAUUCUUACUACUUUGAUAAAAAAUAUUACGAUUAAAGCAUUAAUGGCACCAUAAUACGAAAUGAACCUUAAGUGGUCAUUAUAGAUUUUAAGAUAGAGUUUUAAGUGAUUACCAGAUACUUUAGCUGCUGAACCGCCACAUCAUGGUUGCCACACAACAAUUUCAAACAGAGCCUAAAUAACUUCAUUGCAAAACAGUUAAAUGAAUCUAACUUAGUUUCGUCGUUUGAUUUUCAGCUGUUUUUAACAAGGAAGAUGAUAUUGGAACCUACACUAUCAAAGCGGUUGAUGAUCCGAGAACCUUGAACAAAAACUUUUACAUUCAGCCUCCCGGUAAUAUUUACUCAUUCAAUGAUCUUGUGUCUCUGUGGGAGAGAAAGAUUGGUAAAACCCUCGAAAAGGAGUAUGUUUCAGAGGAGCAGCUCCUAAAGAAUAUUCAAGGUUGGUUAAAACUCUCUUUUUUUAAAUGUAUUAAAGAGAGCCGUAUAUUCUCUGCCGUAAAUGUUAUUGAUCCUGUCUUCUCCAAAAUGUUGCAGAAGCUGCACCUCCACACAAUGUGAUAUUAUCAAUUUAUCACUCUGCUUUCGUGAAGGGAGUUCAAACCAACUUCAAGAUUGAACCAUCUUUUGGAGUUGAAGCCUCGCAGCUUUAUCCUGAUGUCAAGUACACUACAGUUGAUGAGUACCUCAAUCAGUUUGUGUAACCCUUCUCUGUUUCCAGCUGCAGCUUGCAGGAUCUUGGACUGUUGGUAAAUAAAUAAUUGGCUUGUUGCCAUCUUUGGUUUUAUAUGUAAAAAUUAUGGUUGUUGGCCUUACUUUCUUCUGGUUGUCCAUGGAAUUUGUUAGACCAUAUUUUGUUUGCUAUGUCAGUGAUCAAAUGAAGUAGGCCAUGUACUUGAUUUGAGAGUAGUAGUUAUAAAGCCAUCAUGAUCAGGUGGGUGCGUGGGUUGGGCUUCUAUUAGGGUGCGUGUGUUGGGCUUCAGGGGCUUGUGAUAUGGGUUCGACAGCCCCUAACGGGCAGUCAUUAUAAAAAUAAUUAUAGAGUUACAAAUCUAUGUAAAAAGCAAAAAUUAAAAGUAAUUUAUCAAUAAAAAUAAUUAAAAUUAAUAAAAAGUAGGUAUGAUAUUUCAGAAAUCAAAUUAAAGAUAGCAUUCUAAAGAGUCGGAUAAUCCUCCAACUAAACUAAAGAUCUAGUACAUUUGAGAGCAAAUUUAAUUAAAGAAAAGGAUAAGGAAAAACAAUAGAAUAAUAAUAUUAAAAAUUGCAAAUCUUGGUCUUUUUUUUUUACGAUGAUGUUGAAUUCUUAUAAAUUUAAUCUUAUCUAUAGAAUUAUUUAGUUACUGUAUGUCAAAAUUUCCUAUAAAGAUGAAGAAAAAUUAUAUUAGGAGAAGAUCCAAAUCCGUUUAACUGAUGCAUCAUCGACAACAUGAGUACAACAUUUUUGAAUAAACAAAAGAAACUCGUUUUAUGUGCGAACCAGUUCCAAAAUAAAGAGCAGACUAUUGGAAGGAGACAAAUACUACAAGAAGAACAAAACAUUCUACAGUUCCUACAUGAGCCCGCAACAAUUCAUUAUUAACUCGACAUUCAUUACACUUUUUCUUUAAUUUGACAAAGAAACCAAAAAUAAGAUAAAAUUGACUAAGAAAUAAAAAAAUGACCGAAAUCUUUUUGAAGUUUUGCCAGUUCAGCCAUGCACGCUUAUCUUUAUUCACUUGUUUCCUUUCUUUCCUUUCUUUGCUGAAGCCUUCACAGAUCCUUUACCUUUCUGAGCCUUGCCAAUUUUCCCCUUCUUCAAACCACCUGGCCUUGCUGGAUCCACGUGUCCUUGCAUCCUUUUUCAUUCGUGGAUCAACAAGAAUCUUCCCCUUUCCAGCUCUCUCUUGAACUCCUUUCUUUGGGACCAGUAUUCUUUUGUCGGCCUUUUGGGUAUAGUUGUCUUGUAUAAUUGUUCAAUUUGAUUCCUCUUCGAACGAUCAGAGAUGUCCGCUUAGUCUGAUAUGACAUUUGCCUUCUUGCGAACCUUCUCAAGAUUUCGCAUGGCAACCCGUAUCUUUCGAGCUUUGGUCUUAGCCACCUUCUUGGCAGUAUGGGUGGGCGAUUCGGUUUUGGGAUAAACUUUUGGUUUCGUAUCGGUUUAGAUUAAAAAAUAAUAUAAAAAAAUAUUUAGAUUUUAAGAGAAAAAAUCCGAACCGAGACUCACCUAUCGAUUUCGGCUCGGUUUCAGUUCAGUUUUGAUUCUCCUAAUAGUUUUAUUUUGCCUUAUUGACUUCCGGUCAAUGACACUUUUGAAAAAUUUACCAAAAAAAAAAAAAAUGGCCAUAACAAAAUUUCUAUAUGCAAAUAUUUCCUAAACAUUAGGCUAUACUAAAUUUUUUUAAAAGGUAGGGACCCAAACGAUAUUAUCCCUCUACUUCAUCUUCAACCUUCGUCAUUAGGGAUGGCAAAAUCCGAGUUCGGGUCCGGGUUUAGCCAUUUGGGAUCCGGACCCGGAUGAAUAUUUUUUGUACCAGACCCGAAAAUAAACCCGCAUUUUUCCACUUCGAGUCCGGUACGGGUUCAACCCGAAAAAAUUCGGGUUCCCUGACUGCGGGUUUCCAACUCGGAUUAAUGAAUCCAAUUGAAAAAAAAAAACUAAAUUCAACAAAAAAAAUCAAAUAGAAAUACAUAUCCAGGAUUUCAGCAAAUCAAAGAAAAAUUAUUUCAUCUGGAAACUAAUUAACAAAAACAACAAUUUUGUUUGGCUGCCCAGAAUCAGCAACCCAAUGUGGCGGCUCGUUCAAAACAUUAGUGUUUUCAACAGAUUUUGGGGUAGGAAAAGCCAAACCUAUCUAGAACAAUGAAUUUGUAUUUUUGGGGGAGAUGAGGUACCUCACUGGUUUGUUGUGUGCGGUGCAGUGUAUCUUAAAUUUGGGGGAUGUGAGAAGGGGAGAGGGAGUGGUAAUAAUGGUGAAAGGUCAAAACCAAUAGAGAUGUCCUUCAAAAUGAGCUUCACACCUGUAAAACAGUGAAAUAAAGGUUAGAGGUGAAGCUGGGGUAUCCCGGUGUUCACACUCCGACGCUCAAGUUAGCAAACUCAAGCUUUUAUGACAAAGAGAACUGGCUAGCCCUCUGUAAAUUAGGGUUUAAGGUUCAAGGAAACCUAUUUUUUGGAAUGUGAGUGUUAAUGGUGAGUGAGAGACCUCUUGGAGAAUGAAACCUAUGCGCCUUUAUAUAUGGAGUACCUCAGCUGCCACGUGACGUACCCUUUUUGGCUAACGUCAUUUUUCAUUUUUAUGAUUUUUGGGUCGUUAUGUUCAUGUUCGCGGGGUAUCUCAUCUUUUAGAAACGUGGCGCGCGCUGGAGAGUGGUCCAGGGUACCUCUGCAGUAGCUGUCGGGUAGGCGGCUGAGGACCACUGUCCUUGGGACAGUGUCUUUCACUUUUGGUAAAGGUGACAGGCGGUUGUCCUCCCUUUUAACACGACAUUUUUUAUUCCUAAUUAUGACAAAAUCGAAUAAUAUCUUUUAAGAGAUGGAGACGUUUCUCAUGGUGGAUAUUUUCGGAAGAUUCUCUUGCAUCUGAUCAGCCGGGUUCCUCCAGUUACGCAGGGUACCUCAAUUUAUGUGGGGUACCUCUAAUUUUAUGGGGUACCACUAUUUGCGCAGGGUACCUUGAAUCAUGCCAAGUACCUUAGAUUAUGCGGAGUACCUCUAAUUGUGCGGGAUACCUCUAUUGCGCUAGGUACCUUGAAUCAUGCCGGGUACCUCAGAUUGUGCGGGGUAUCUCUAUUUGCGCAGGGUACCUUGAAUCAUGCUGGGCACCUCAGAUUGUGUGGGGUACCUUGAGUCAUGCGAGGUACCUCUAAUCAGGCCAGGUACCCUCUAAUUGUGCUGAGUACCUAUAAUCAUGCAGGGUACCUCUAAUCAAGCCGGGUACCUUUAAUCAUGCGGGGUACCUCUAAUCAGGCCGGGUACCUUAGAUUGUGCGGGGUACCUCUAUUUGCGCAGGGUACCUUGAAUCAUGCAGGGUAUCUCAGAUUGUGCGGGGUACCUCAAAUUGUGUGGGGUACUUCUAAUCGUGCGGGGUACCUCUAAUCAUGUCGGGUACCUCGGAUUGCACUGAAGUUAUUCCAUUCGUUGACACGUGGCGUUAUGCUAUCUUUCUUAUUUUUCCCCCAAACAACAUCCCUCUAGUUUCUUUUGGCAAGAAGUUUUGGAGGCAAAAGAAACUUACAUAAAAAGUAGAAGCGACACGUGGCGAUAUGAUGUUUAGCUCGAUGGGUAACUAAAUAGAGGGCGCCUUUAGGGGUACCCUGAGAACCCAAAAAGGGAAGAUGGGCUCCAUUUCCUCGGAAAUGGCUACCACUUUGGACAUGUUGGAAAGGAUAGAGCUAAUUGAUCAAAAAAAUUUCAUCUAUUUCUAGGGAAGAACACCAAAUACGGGUAGAGGGUAUCGUUAGGGUACCCCACCAUUACCCAUAGUUUGUUUUCUAGUGACUGCCAUGUAUAAAUCGCUCUGGUGAAGGCUUCAAUACAUUCUUUGGGCAUUUAAGAAGCAAUUAUUUGAUUAUCUCGGGAUCCACCUUAUUUAAGGGUAUAUUUCCUUCAUGUACUUUGAAGACAAAAAUAAAAUCACAGGGCUUUCUUCCUUGUAACUUCAGAGGUACCCUCGACAGAAGAAUAUAGUCAACAAUGCUUUUAAGCGUAUCAUGAUCGAGGAAUGGAGUGCUGAUCUGGGGUUGGUGGUGCCAAGAGUGGAGAAGAUGGUAGAUGAACCGGCUAUCUUGAAGGCGAUUAACGAUAGCGGGGCUCUCAACACAUCUUGGUCUGAAGGGGUAAUGCAAAUAAGUUUACGUUGAUUGGAUAUUCAGAAGAAGUAAUACGCCAUUAAAAGCAACAAGUUUUCCAAAAAGCCAACAAAGACAGACACCACCACACCACCCCGCGCUGGAUGAAAAACGAUGAAAGCAUGAUAAGUGACAUCGAGUAAGCCACGUUCUCUCUCUCUCUCUCACUCGCACUCGCACUCGCACUCGCACUCGCACUCGCACACACUGUUACUAAAAUAACCAAAAAUAAGAUUCCCAUCAAAAUAUUUUCAAGUAUCGUUCUUGAAAGUGGCGGCGGCUGAUGAUGAUGAACACAGCCGCGAUUGCGAUUGGCGAAGGCGGCGUUCAGCCCGUAUCACAGCUAGUUAUCGGUCGUGGCAGAAAAGAUAAUGAAACGACGGCUGAUGAUGAUAAUGAUGAUGUUGAACAGCCGCAAAUAUGGGUAAGUGAUGCGACGAUGAUUUGAUGAAGAUGAAGAUGAGCUGAAGAUGGAAUAAGAGUGGAAAUGUUUGUGCGGCUGGGAAAGUGUAAUGAGCUGCUAGGGCACCAUUUGGGUUUUUUUGCUUUCCUAUUUAUAUUAAAAAUAAUUUUUAAAAAUUAAUAUAUAUCCGGGUUCGGGUUUUGGAUGUACGGGUUUACCUAGACCCGGACACAUGCGGAUUCAGCAGCACCGACCACCCACAGACUUGGAUUCGAUUGCAAAGUUGGGACUUAGGAUUUGGGUUUGUGGCUGCUGAAACAGAAAGUGAGAGAGUAGAAAGUAGAGACUAAGAGUGGUGCAAACAUGUGUAAUUUUGUGUGUGUGUCUAUAUAUAUAUAUAUAAUGUGAAAUUACAAAAAUGCCAUUAUAUCAGUUCAAUUCGAAUUUUGUAACUUGUGAUCCAAAAACUGAACCAAACCGAACCAUUUGGUUUGGUUUUUAUAUAUUCAGGUUUUUAAUUUAAAAAAACUAAAUUGAAAUUGAAAGAACUAAACCGAACCGAAUUUUUUUUUUUUUUUUGUUUCGGUUCAAUUAUGCCCAUCCCUACUUAGUAGGCUGGGCAUUAAUUUCUUUGAAUUGUGCUUUCAUUGCAGUAAUCUCCUCCUUGGUAAUAGGUUUAAUUGCUUGUUGAUGCCUCAUUUCCUCUAGUAACAACUAGUCUAACAAGCCAUCAUCGUCAAACAUGUACCUAUUAUAAGCAUCAUCCAGAAUUUGCUCUCUUUGCUUUUUGCUUAGUGUCUUCUUUGCACAAGCUAUUAUCUCAGCUUUUGUAUGAAUAUCUUUAUCUUUUGAUUCACCAGAGGAUGAAUCAUCACCGGAAUAGAGUGGUGAAGGCCCCAUAGAUUAGUGUGAUCAAGUUCUAGUGUAGUUUUGGUUUUGAUUUCAGUAUUAGGAAAAUGAAGCCUAUGAAAUUUACUAAGCUAACAUGCUUCACAAAAGUGCUUUAAUACUUGAAGAGGAUAAAUGAGGAUAAAUAAAUUUAAAUAUACAUUAGAUUUUGAGGGUUGGGAUGUCAAAACUUUUGGUGAAAAAGAGUUAGUACAAGCAUUUUUAUUGAGAUUGAAAAUAUUUCUUAAGAUGAUCAAUACUAGUUACAAAAUUGGAAUGAAAAAAAAAGGCAACAUAGACAAAGGUUUGUUUAUUUGAUUGUAAGAUAGAAAAGACUUGUAUUUAAGUUGUGGAAAGGAUUUGAGCAGCAAUUUAUACAACCUUUUCUCAGCAAAACCUUCCUCUUCAAUGAAUCCUUCACAAAACAAAUAGAUCCAAGAAAUUCGACAAAUAAAUUGUUGUCAAUGGUAAGUUUUGAAAUGCUCAAUAGAUUCUUUGUAAUGGAUGGAACAAACAGUACAUCCUUAAGUAAAAUAUGUCUUAUAUUAUCUUUUUUUAAUUCUUUUUUAAAAAAUAAGUGAAUAAUAGUAUGUCAAUCUCAAAUAUCAAUAUGUACAAUUUUUAUUUGUGUAAGAAUUUGCAUCCAAUAAUCAUCAAUACAUAAUUGUCUUUUAAUUGAAUGGUUCUCACCUCCCUUCCAAACUUUGAAAAGGUAAAAUAAGAUCAAUCAUGUCAGUGGCAAUUAAUAUAAAGAUUACUUUUCUUAUUUGUAGUAACGUCCUCUGAUUAUUUAGCUGAUUUUCAAGCUACACAUUUAUUCCAUUUGAUGUUGAUAUUAGUAAAAUUAAUGUAAUAUUUAAAAAGGAAAAAAAUCCGUCGAGCUAAAAGCCGAGUAUAAAAUUGAACCGGACCCAAACCAGAAACGCACGCCAACAACAUGCUUGCGUUAGUCGGCCCAUGCCCAUAAACCCACCAAGCCCGAUCCAAAUAGAAAAAUGAAUUGGACACCCGAGAUAGCAGAAACAGAUAAGUAACGGUCGUGUUAUCCCCAAUCUCAUAUCUUCAACGGUAUCCAGCCAACAUCUCAAAGUGUUCAAUUUUUUUUUAAGCCAAAAAAAAAUUCAAAAUUUUCAAGCGGAAUCUGGGAAGAUGGCGAUGAAAAGCAAGAUUCUGGUUAUCGGCGGAACCGGAUACAUCGGUAAGUACUUAAGGUGCGUUUGAAAUUGAGGUUGAACAACUAUAACUUUAAAACUACAGCACUAAAAUAUUUGGUAAACACUAACUGUUGUAACUUAAAAGCUAUUUAAUAUAAUUUUUCACUUGUAUAAUAAAAAAUUUAUUAUCUUUAAUAAUUUUGUCAAAAUUAUUAUUUAAAAUAUAUACAGUAAGAGAGAUUGUAACAUUUUCAAUCUUUGGUUUGAUAUUCUGGAAGAAAACGGUUUGCCGUUUACGGAGAAAAUGGCUAACCGUUUAAUUUCAGAGAGCAUGUUUUCUAUUCUAGAGAAAACGACUAACCGUUUGGAGAAAAUGGCUAACCGUUUGGAGAAAACGGCUAACCGUUUUGAGAAAACGGCUAACCGUUUAAUUCCAGAGAGCAUGUUUUCUGUUCUAAAGAAAAUAACUAACCGUUUGGAUAAAACAACCAACCAUUAAUUACAGAGAGUAACUUAUUUGACAUUCUGGAAUAAAACGGCUCACCGUUAUUGAGAAAAUGGCUAACCGUUUAUUUCCAGAGAGCGUGUUUUUGCGUCAACUGGAAAAACGGUUAGCAAGCUUGGAAAUUUCAAUUGUCAAUCGAUGCAAACUCAAACCAAAAGAGUGUUUUUUAAAGAAGUACCAUUUUUAAUGGUUGUAUUCUUUCAAAUAAACAUCUUCUUUAUUAAAGAUAAACAAACUAUUAUAUCAUAAUCAGAUUUUGCAGGUUUCAUAUAUGUUCUGGAAAUACAAUCUUAUUUUCUAGAGAUUGUAUUCAGGAUUUGAUAUAUCUUAGGGGUAAUUUGCCAUUAAAACUCUAUAGCAAACCAAGAUUGGUGAGGGCAAAUAAAACCUUAAAGAAAAGUGUGCAAACACGUCUCAAAUCCUAAGAAAUUUUCUUUGUUCUUUGCCUCCAUAUUCUUAAAAUUUGAAAAUUCACCCAUCAAUCUUUAAGGUUUUAUUUUGAUGCAAAUAGAGGCUGAGAAGAGUUUGACGCCAUUUCUUAAUCCUAGUGUCCAUCUCGAUCGUUUUGAUGGAACAAAUUUCACUCGUUGGAAGGGAAAAUUGUUCUUUCUUCUUACUGUUCUUAAAGUGACAUAUGUUCUUGAUCCGAAAUUGGAACCAUUUCCAGAACCAAGAGAAGAUGAUACCGAAGUUGUUAAGGCUGCAAGGAAACGUCGUGAAGAUGAUGAAUUGAUGUGCCGGGGUCACAUACUCAAUACGCGUUCUGACAGGUUAUAUGAUCUCUACAAUUUUAUGACUUCUCCGGUGGAAAUUUGGAAUGCUCUUAAGUACAAAUACAAAACGGAGAAAGAAGGUACUGACAAAUUCCUUGUCUCUAAAUAUUUUGAAUUUAUUAUGAUAGACACACAAUCCAUUCUUGAUCAAAUACAUGAGUUAUAAAUUAUUGUUGCUAAGCUUCGAGAGUUAAAAGUUGAAAUUUUUGAAUCAUUUCAAGUUGGGACUAUUAUUGCUAAAUUGCCUCAAAGUUGGAAUGAUUAUAGAAAGAAACUCCUUCAUAGUAAAGAGAACAUAACUUUAGAAGAAUUGCAAAAACACUUGAUAAUUGAAGAAGAGACUAGGUCUCGCGAAUCCAAGGAUAAGCAUGAUUCUACUAAAGUUAAUGUUCUUGAAGCUAGUAAAUUCUCAAAGAAUUUUAAAGUCAAGAAUGACAAGAAAUUUAAGAAGUCCAGCACACAAAAGUUUUCUGGAAAUUGUUUCUUUUGUGGUAAGAAAGGUCAUCGCCAAAGUGAUUGCAGAUUCAAGAAAAAAAAAAGGAAGAAGUGGAUUCCUAUAAAGCUAAUGUUAUUGAAAACAAAUCUGAAAAGAUUUGUGCUAUGGUUUCUGAAAUGCAAAUUGGCAUGAUUAUCGAAACCAAUAUGGCUGAAACUAAGUCCUAUGAUUGGUGGCUCGAUUCGGGUACAACAAUUCAUGUUUGUAAUGAUAAGAAAUUUUUAUUAUCAUACAAAGAAGAAACGGAAGGACAAAUGGUUCUCAUGGGGAACAAUAAUGCAGCCAUAGUAGCAGGGAAAUGAGUAGUUGAGAUCAACUUCACUUCUAGAAAGAAAGUCACAUUGUAUAAUGUCUUUCAUGUACCUUUCGUUAGGAAGAAUCUUAUUUCUGCUAGUUGUAUGUGUAAGCAUGGGCUUAAGAUUGUGCUUGAGGGUAAUACUUGUAUUAUCUCAAAGAAUGAAUUAUUUGUUGGGAAAUGGUAUUCUUGUGAUGGAAUGUACAAACUCAACAUUAAUAAUAAUAAUAUCAACUUAGCUUAUAUUGUUGAGUCUUGUGAUGUUUGGCAUGCUAAAUUAGCACAUUUGAAUUUUAGAUCUUUGAAAUACAUGUCUGAGCAUGGUUUGAUUAAUUGCAAUGAUGUUAAAGGUCAUAAGUGUGAAAUCUGCAUCCAAGCUAAAUUAACUAAGAAACAUUUUCUUAAAGCCGAACGAAAUACUCAAAUAUUGGACUUAAUAUAUACCGAUAUUUGUGAGUAUAAUGGCGUUUUAACAAGAGGAGGUAAGAAGUACUUUAUCACUUUUAUUGAUGAUUGUUCUAGAUACACUUAUGUGUAUUUACUUAGAACAAAAAAUGAAGCUUUUGAUAAAUUUAAAAUUUUCAAAGCUGAAGUUGAGAACUAAAAAGAUAAGAAAAUCAAAAUGGUUCGUAGUGAUAGAGGUGGUGAAUAUUUCUCAAUUGAAUUUAAUAAUUAUUGUGAAGAAUUUGGAAUUAUUCACCAAAGAUCAGCUCCAUUUACUCCUCAACAAAGUGGUUUGGCUAAAAGAAAGAAUAAGAUCUUCACAGAUAUGAUAAAUUCCAUGAUCCUUAAUGCAAAACUACCAAAUAAUUUGUGGGGGGAAGCAUUACUCACUGCAUGUCAUAUUCAUAACAGAAUUACAUAUUUGAAAACACAUAUAUCUCUUUAUGAAAUUUGGAAAGGAAGAAAACCAAACUUGAUGUAUUUAAGGGUCUAGGGUUGUUUAGCUUUUUAUAAAAUACAUGAUCCUAAAUCAUCAAAGUUAUGUGCUAGAUGUAUAAAGAGUGUUUUCGUAGGAUAUGCUGAAAAUUCCAAGGCUUAUAGGUUGUUAGAUUUAGAUUAUAAUGUGAUUGUGGAAUCUAGAGAUGUUGAAUUUAUUGAGAAUAAAUUUCAACAUGAUUCUAAUAUUGAAUUAGAAUCAAUUAUUGAUCAACCAUGUGUUAAUACUCCUGUUACCUCCACUAACAAUAAUAAAAGGAAAGACUCUAUGACAUCUUUCGAACCAAUGAGGAGUCAAGGUGAAAAGAAAGAAAAGAGUUUAGCUCCGAAUUUUAUUUCAUCACAAGCACUACUCUUCUUGGUUGAAGGGGAUAGAAAGAAUGUACUUAACAAAGUACCAUUGUUGUUAAAUAUUGAAAAAGAUCCAAAGACAUUUAGCGAAGCUAUGUCUUCUAGAGACGCUUCUUUUUGGAGAGAGGCGGUAAAUGAUGAAAUUGAUUCGAUUAUUUCGAAUCAAACAUGGGUCUUGGUUGAUCUUCCUCCAGGAUCUAAACCAAUUAGCAGCAAAUGGGUAUUUAGAAGAAAGUACAAUAGUGAUGGUUCUUUGCAAACUUUUUAGGCUAGAUUAGUAGCCAAAGGGUUUAAGCAAAGAAAUGGUAUUGGUUAUUUCGAUACAUAUGCUUCGGUAGCAAGGUUAACUUCUAUAAGAGUGCUAUUUGCAAUUGCUUCAUUGAAUAAUUUGUAUGUGCAACUAAUGGAUGUUAAAACCGCUUUUCUUAAUGGUGAUCUUGAUGAAGAAAUCUAUAUGGAACAACCUGAGGGAUUUGUUUUACCAGGAAAUGAGAAAAAAGGUAUGCAAGUUAGUCAAAUCACUUUAUGGUUUAAAGCAAGCACCAAAACAAUGGCAUGAGAAGUUUGAUUCGGUAAUUUUAUCUCAUGGUUUUAAGCAUAAUAAUGCUGAUAAAUGUAUAUAUUUUAAAGUUACGAAUGAUUUUGGUGUGAUUAUAUGCUUGUAUGUUGAUGACUUGCUUAUCUUUGGAACAAAUAUGCAAGGAGUAGAUGAUACAAAGAAGUAUUUAACUUCACAAUUUAAGAUAAAAGAUCUUGGUGAAGUAGAUACUAUCUUAGGUGUCAAAGUGAAGAAACAUAGUGGGGGUUACUCGUUGUGUCAAUCUCAUUAUAUAGAGAAAGUGCUUCUUAAAUUCAAUUAUUUGAAAUUUAAAGAAGCUAAUACCCCAUAUGAUUCUAGUAUUAAAUUAUUAGAGAAUUCAGGCCGAGUAGUAGCACAACUAGAAUAUGCUAGUGCUAUUGGUAGCUUGAUGUAUGCUAUGCAUUGUACGAGGCCUGAUAUAGCAUUUGCAGUUUGCAAAAUGUCAAGAUUCACGAGUAACCCUAGUGUUGAACACUGGAAAUCAAUUGGUAGAAUACUUGGUUAUCUUAAAAGGACCAUUAAUUUGGGUUUGUUUUAUAAUGAUUAUCUUGAAGUACUGGAAGGAUAUUCAGAUGCUAGUUGGGUAACCAAUACAAGAGAUAAUAAAUCCACUUCUGGUUGGAUUUUUACAAUUGCUGGAGGAGCAGUUUCUUGGGCUUCAAAGAAACAAAUGUACAUAACUCAUUCAACAAUGGAAAGUGAGUUUAUAGCACUCGCAGUUGCAAGCAAGGAAGUAGAAUGGCUGAGAAAUUUGUUGUUUGAUAUAAUGUUAUGGCCACAACCGAUGCCAUCUAUUUCUUUGUACUGCGAUAGUGAAGCUACAUUGUCUAGAGCUUAUAAUAAAGUGUAUAAUGGAAAGUCUAGACAUAUUAGCUUGAGACAUGAAUAUGUGAAACAAUUAAUAGCAGAUGGUGUUAUUAAUAUUGUUUAUGUUAGGACUAAUAAGAACCUAGCGGAUCCUUUAACAAAAGGUCUUACAAGAGACUUAGUUAAGGAUACAUCUUUUGGAAUGGGAUUGAAACCUUUAAAUAAUAAAGUCACCAACGACGAUAACCCAACUAUGUAGUAGUUGCACCGCUACUCCAUAGUUAAAUGGAUAAUAACAAGUUGUUGUUAUGUGACUGGUUUGGCACCGAGUAAUAAAUAAUCACAUUCGAGAUAUUCGGUGCAAAUAGCUACGAGGUUGAGGUUGAGUAUUUACUCUUAAUGAAGUUCAAGUCUUAUACUAGCUAAAGACAUGAUUUGAAACUUCACCUAAGUGAACAUAAGAAAUGGUGCCGUUUCUAACAAGAUCAUGGUUUAAUCUAGUAAAUGUUUAUGAAUCCAAGAUAGAGCACAAGGCCGGAAUAGUGCUAAAUAUUGGAACACAACUUUGAAAAUCUGGGAUAGCUUAUAUGUGAUGUAUCUCCGGUAUUUACUUAAGAGACAAAGUUUAAUGCUUAGCACACUAUUGUUUUGUAAAUGCUUUGAAAUACACUCACUAAUUAAAGGUUAAAAUCGAAAGAUAUCGUUUUGUAUGUAUAAGUUUAUCAUUAAUAAAUAUGAAAAAUAUUACAAUCUAGUGGGGGAUUGUAAGAGAGAUUGUAACAUUUUCAAUCUUUGGUUUGAUAUUCUGGAAGAAAACGGUUUGCCGUUUAUGGAGAAAACGGCUAACUGUUUAAUUCCAAAUAGCAUGUUUUCUGUUCUAGAGAAAACGACUAACUAUUUGGAGAAAAUGGCUAACUGUUUAAUUUUAGAGAGCAUGUUUUCUGUUCUAGAGAAAACGGCUAACCGUUUGGAUAAAACGGCCAACCGUUAAUUACAGAGAGUAACUUAUUUGACAUUCUGGAAUAAAACGGCUCACCGUUAUUGAGAAAACGGCUAACCAUUUAUUUCCAGAGAGCGUGUUUUUGCGUCAACUGGAAAAACGGUUAGCAAGCUUGGAAAUUUCAAUUGUCAAUCGAUGCAAACUCAAACCAAAAGAGUGUUUUUUUAAAGAAGUACCAUUUCUAAUAGUUGUAUUCUUUCAAAUAAACAUCUUCUUUAUUAAAGAUAGACAAACAAUUAGAUCAUAAUCAGAUUUUGCAGGUUUCAUAUAUGUUUUGGAAAUACAAUCUUAUUUGCUAGAGAUUGUAUUCAGGAUUUGAUAUAUCUUGGGGGUAAUUUGCCAUUAAAACUCUAUAGCAAACCAAGAUUGGUGAGGGCAAAUAAAACCUUAAAGGAAAGUGUGCAAACACGUCUCAAAUCCUAAGAAUUGUUUUUUGUUCUUUGUCUCAAUAUUCUUAAAAUUCGAAAAUUCACCCAUCAUAUACAUACUACAUAUUAUUAAUUUUUGUUUUAUAACUAUAGUUUUUUUUUUACCGCAACUGUAGUUUAAAAACUACAGCACCUCAAUCCCAAAUAAGACCUUAGUAGAAGUGAGCGCGAAAGCCGAUCACCCAACAUUCGCGCUUGUGAGAGACUCCACUCUCUCCACUCCUUCCAAAUCCAAAAUCCUCGACCGUUUCAAAAAUCUCAGCUCGACCGUUUCAAAAAUCUCAGCGUCAAUUUAGUUCAUGUGCGCCACUCUUUUAGCUUUCCAAUUUUCCCGCCAAUUUUCUUUUAUUGUGAUUAAUUAAUUAAUUAAUGUAAAGAUUUUAUAUUAUAAUUUUGUUUGCAGGGAGAUCUAUACAGCCAUGAGAGCUUGGUGAGUACAAUAAAGCAAGUGGAUGUGGUGAUAUCAGCGAUAGGUCGCACUCAAUUAGCUGAUCAACUCAACAUUAUCGCAGCAAAUUGCGAUAACUAAGUACUUGGGAUUUUAAAGAAGCUGGAAAUGUUAAGGUUCUGAUUAACUUAAGUAAAUGCGUUAACUAAUUACUUGGGAUUUUAAAUUCAAAUGUGUGAAUUGUUCUAAAAAAUUAUUUAUGUUUAUUAGUCAGAGAUUCUUUCCUUCAGAAUUUGGAAAUGAUGUUGAUCGCGUGCAUGUCGUUGAGCCAGCAAGAACAUCAUUUGCCACCAAGGCUAAAAUCCGCCGAGCUGUUGAGGAUGAAGGAAUUCCAUACACCUACGUAGCUACGUAGCUUCCAAUUUCUUCGCUGGUUUGUAUCUUUCCAGUUUCUCACAGCCUGAAGCCACAGCUCCUCCAAGGGAUAAAGUGGUCAUCGUAGGUGAUGGAAAUGCAAAAGGCAAAGCGCUUCUGGAUACAUUUACUCUGUACACGCAAUGUGUGGUUACUGUUUGGAGAUAAAAAAGGAGAUUAAUUAAUAAAGAAAAUGAAAUUAUUGAGGGAUUUGCUGAAGAGUUGCGUGCACUCCUCAUUUUUCUCCACCACUCAUCUUACUUGCAAAAUGCAAUGACCAAACUAUCCUCGCCAAAGCCUAGACAUUUACUUGUGUUCAAAGGCCAUUUAAGGGAGACAAGUACAAAAAGUUAUAAAGGAUAGUAAGCAGAAGAAGAAAAUGGAAAGGGGAGGGGGGGGGGGGGAGAAUAAAAAAGGGGAGUGGGGCGUUAUCUAGGGAGGAUUUUUAUUUUUAUUUUUUUUCCUCUCUUCUCCAUGGCAUCUCUUUCUCUCUUUCUCCCACUAAGAAAUUCUUUCUUUUACACUCUAUUUUACUUUUAUGCAAAUUACGCAAAAAACUUUUGGUUUUAAGGCAAUGUUUAUUAAGCCACGUGAAUUUGAAAAAGCAUGAAUAAGGGGAUGAUUUUAACACAUUAAUUCACCAACAUUAAUUGGAAAAGAUCAGUUGCCACUUCGAAUCAGAGUAAUUUCUUCGGCAAUAGCCAAAUAUUGAUAUUUGAUCUUGACACUGUAGUUAAAUCAAUGUAACUGAUUUUGUCAUUUGAUCCCCAGUAAUUUUUAACAAGGAAGACGAUAUUGGGAUUAAUUCUAUCAAAGCGGUGGAUGAUCCAAGAACACUGAACAAAAUACUUUACAUCAGACCCCGUUGCAAUAUCUACUCAUUUAAUGAUCUUGUGUCUCUGUGGGAGGAAAAGAUUGGCAAAGCCCUUGACAGGGUCUAUGUUACAGAGGAACAACUUCUGAAAAACAUUCAAGGUUAGUUAGAACUAUCACUUUAUCAAGUGGAUAGAUGUAACUGACCGAUAAUGGAAAUUUUUUUCCUUCUCCAAAAUGCGAUAGAAUCUAAUCGGUUUCAACAAUCUCAAGAACACCUAUUCAUGGUUGUGUUGUUUGAAAUCUGUAUGUAUCAGUUUUCUUUCUAGAUCUCAGAUUGCUCGCAAGGAUGUCAAGUUUUGAUGAUGCUUGCCUGUUUUCCUGUGUUUACAGAAGCUUCAUAUCCACUCAAUAUGAUAUUACCUAUUGGGCACUCUGCCUAUGUCCUGGGAGAUCAGACCAACUUCGAAAUUGAACCUUCAUUUGGAGUAGAGGCAACAGAGCUUUAUCCAGAUGUCAACUACACUACUGUGGAUGAGUACCUCAACCAGUUCAUAUAAACCUUCUGAGAUGAGCAGCAGGAUCCUAACAAAAAAUUGGGUGGUUUCCAUCCCUGAUUCUAUGGUAUAAAGAUAGCGGCUUUCCCUGCUUUUGCCAGUUCAGUGAAGUUUGUUAGAUGAUGUUAUUUAUACUAUACUAGCAAAGAUCAAGUUGCCUUUCUUGUCAAGAAGCCAAGCUCUGGCAUUGGUUUAUGCUAGUUUUUCACACUAAUAUUGGUAUUCACUAAUUUUUUUUUUUCAUUUCACACCGCCAUCAUCAGUGGAGAUGCCCUCUUGUAUGGUACUAACUUUGAUUUUCCUUAUGCUUCACUUGCUGUCUCUGCAGAUUCGUAAAAGAUCAUUCAUGGAUAAGAUCAGAACAUCAAUUUGAUACAGUAUGCAUUGAGAACUCCCACAUGAUUCUUGUUCUAGUUCUGGUUAGACAUGAAACAUGUUACAGUUCCAUAACUUGAGACAUUGUCAUUCAACAAUUAUCAUCACAUUAAAACAGUGGCCAAUCCCUAACAGCUACCUUUUGACUCUUCACAUUUUUUUUCUGCAUUUUAUGCGCAUUAAUUAUCUAGACCUAGACUUAUUACACUUCUCAGCCUGGCCCGUUGGACAGUGAGUGAUGAAACAAAUUUUUUUUCAUGUUUAUUACUUUUUUUGCAUUCAAAAUGAUAAAACUGCAGAGGUUGUUGCAUGCACGUCAUUUGUUAGUAGGGGUAUCAAUUUAUGAACGUAUGAAGUAUCUCUUCUGCACCGGCAUCCUCCUUAACUGUCAGUAGGAUCACAAUAAGUCGACCAACCAUCUACCGUAUGGAUUAUCUAUAAAUUGAAAUUGGUGUGUAUUAUGGAUCUGUCACUCUGCUGCUUCUGUUUUCUUUUCUAUUUUUACCAAGAAAGAAACAUUGUUAAAACUGAAUGGUUGUUAUCUCGUCUUGUUGUAAUGUUGUGUAUGCUUUCUAGAAAAUAAUGAAGUGCCAAAUAUGAAAAUACUAGUGGCUACCUUACCAUCCUUAAUAAGUUGUCUGAUUGUCACCGUCAACAAUCACUCUCAGCAACUCAUAAUCCAUUUAAGCAUAUUAUAAAAUAAUCAAUUUUGUAUUUGCACCAACUUUUAGUUUUAAAUGACAAUUUCGUUGAUCCCCACACUUCUGUACUAAUCAAAUCCACUGAAACUGGACUUUUUUUUCUUUUUUUUUAUAAUUACAUCGAUUGCAUUGGCUAUUGCAGGGAAAAGACUGCCUCUACAGGGAACUAAACUUUCAGAAUUGAUCUUAUGAGGGUUUGAAUAUGCUCUCGUACUAGGUCAAUGGCCUAUUGGUUCGAGACCAUUCACAAAGAAAGAAAUGAGUUUUGCUUGUAUAAAUGAAAGAAAUCCAAAUGAUAACUAAUGUAUAGUGGUACAUGAGAAAAAUAAUUUCAGCCCCUGUGUAAAGUCAAAAAGAGAAAAUAUUAAAAGAAAGGAUAAUGUCAUUGAGUUCGGUGAAGUGAAAGAAAAUAAAAAACAUGGGAUUUAGUCAAACUUAGUGUCCCAAUCAGCAGAAAAAGGUUUUAGAAACUCACCUCAAGUUAAGCCAACUAUUAGGAGCUUUAUUUAAUCAUGGCUUUCUAAUGUAUAGUACUCCAAUACUAAACGAGGGCUACCUCUACGCUUGCAAAUGUAAAUGAAAUUGAGUUCGUGACGCACAAUGAAGUGAGCAAAAUGAGUUGAGAUCUGAGAAUAUAUUAAAGAAAAUAUGAAUCAAUGAAUUUUGGUUAAAAAAAACAAAUGCUGGUUCUUCAAGACCUGCGUGUAUUGUGUAAGUUUUGUUAGGAGAAGGAAAGCAUUUUGGUCUAAAACGCACUAAAUCGGAUUCAUUUGCUUGAUAUCUAAUAAGGGUGAAUUAACCACUCGCCCACAGCAAUUCAAGUACCCAAAAAAGUUUUGUGGGGGCUAAAUUUCUUCUUUAAUUAUAAAAAAUAAUUGAACGGAGGAUAAAAAUUUAGGCCAUGUAUAACAAUAACUAAUAUAAACUAGUCCUAAUAAUAGUAUAAUUGUAAAUAUCAGUUGUAGUCUCAUACAAUAUAAGUUUAUAGAUUAUAAUAUCGGCAUAAAAAGAAAAAUGAUAUCUGACGGUCAAUCAAUAAAAGGAUAAAAACUUUGGAGUAACAUACCACAAAGUCAAUGUAGCUGGACAGUGAAUAUAAUAUGUAAACAAAUUUAAAUGGGAUAAUACCAUACGGUACAUACAUAACAUUUUAAAACUGAAUUAAAAAAAUAAAAUUAAAACUGAAUUAGAAUUCGUAUGUGUAUCCAGCUACCUUGCCACAGUUGUAAGGUACCCUAACUUUGCAACAAUUUCAUCCUUCGUGCAUUCGGUCACAAAGUCCAAAUUAGGCACGUUUAAGAAUCGAACUGAAAAACUAAAAAAAAGAAUCCGGCGAUAUUUGCGAACCGGAAACGAGCCAGCGUUAUGCUUAUGUCAUUUCAGAGAUAUCAACAGUCGUGCUUUCAGUCCUUAAACCUCAAGGGCAUUUUCGUCCUUUCACUCAAGCGUGAAACUGCAUGUAAGAACUGCUUCGCUUACACGCUCCAUGCACAUUUAAAGGCACCACUGUCGGAUAAAAAAUAUCCAUCCAUUUGAUCAUUUCAAAACAAAACGAAAAAAAAAAUCUCAGUAAUUGAACUGAACGAGUCUCAGAAAUGGCAUCGAAAAGUAAGAUUCUAUUCAUCGGCGGGACAGGGUAUAUCGGUAAAUUCACUGUCGAAGCGAGCGUAAAAGCCGGCCACCCGACGUUCGUGCUCGUGAGAGAAUCCACAAUCUCUGGUCCUUCCAAAUCUCAACUCCUCGAUCACUUCAAAAACCUCGGCGUCAAUCUCGUCAUAGUGCGUUUUCAUUUUUCUCUUUUCUUAAUUUUUUAUUCCGAUCAUUUUUACACGUCGAAGUGUAGCAUCUACUACUUAAUAUACAUAAUGAUAUUAUUAUUUUUUAAUUUUUUUGGGUUGCUGUUAUUAUUAUGCAGGGAGAUGUGUUGAAUCACGAGAGUUUGGUGAAGGCGAUUAAACAAGUGGACGUGGUGAUAUCAACGGUCGGUCACACUUUAUUAGCUGAUCAGGUCAAGAUUAUUGCUGCCAUUAAAGAAGCCGGUAACGUUAAGGUAUAACAUAAUUAAUAUAAAUAUCUUGAAUUCCGAUCAGGAUUGUGCACUCGCGAACACGUGGUGAUUUAUUCUUGGUGUGGAGCUCGCUGUAGAGUAGAGCUCCCAGUUCAGCUAAUAAACACCCCGUCACAUGCGCAAUUGCGCCUCAAAAUAAUUUAAUUGAUUAAUUAAGGAUAAAUACCAAUGGCAUGAAAGCAAUUAAAAUUAGUUGAUGUUUAUAAAUUAUUUAUUACUCAGAGAUUCUUACCAUCGGAAUUUGGAAAUGAUGUUGAUCGAGUUGAAGGCGCCGUAGAGCCAACAAAAUCGACGUAUGACGUAAAGGCGAAAAUCCGCCGAGCCGUUGAGGCAGAAGGCAUUCCGUACACUUACGUAGAAUCUUAUUGUUUUGAUGGCUAUUUCCUCCCCAAUUUGUUGCAGCCUGAGGCCACUGCCCCCCCUAGGGAUAAGGUUGUCAUCUUAGGCGAUGGAAAUCCAAAAGGUAAUAUAAUUUAAUUAAGCUCUGUUUGUUUGGUAUGUAUUUCGGUGUUAAUGUUAUUGUCUGUUGUACAAUGGAUGGUCUUGCUUGGUACUGUUGUUGGAGAGCUGCAGUGUUUUGAUAAACACCUCUAUCCUUAGCUUUCAAGUUAAGUUGAUUUUAUACAACACUUGUUUAAUUCAAAACUUGUAAUAUUCUUACUACUUUGAUAAAAAAUAUUACGAUUAAAGCAUUAAUGGCACCAUAAUACGAAAUGAACCUUAAGUGGUCAUUAUAGAUUUUAAGAUAGAGUUUUAAGUGAUUACCAGAUACUUUAGCUGCUGAACCGCCACAUCAUGGUUGCCACACAACAAUUUCAAACAGAACCUAAAUAACUUCAUUGCAAAACAGUUAAAUGAAUCUAACUUAGUUUCGUCGUUUGAUUUUCAGCUGUUUUUAACAAGGAAGAUGAUAUUGGAACCUACACUAUCAAAGCGGUUGAUGAUCCGAGAACCUUGAACAAAAACUUUUACAUUCAGCCUCCCGGUAAUAUUUACUCAUUCAAUGAUCUUGUGUCUCUGUGGGAGAGAAAGAUUGGUAAAACCCUCGAAAAGGAGUAUGUUUCAGAGGAGCAGCUCCUAAAGAAUAUUCAAGGUUGGUUAAAACUCUCUUUUUUAAAUGUAUUAAAGAGAGCCGUAUAUUCUCUGCCGUAAAUGUCAUUGAUCCUGUCUUCUCCAAAAUGUUGCAGAAGCUGCACCUCCACACAAAGUGAUAUUAUCAAUUUAUCACUCUGCUUUCGUGAAGGGAGUUCAAACCAACUUCAAGAUUGAACCAUCUUUUGGAGUUGAAGCCUCGCAGCUUUAUCCUGAUGUCAAGUACACUACAGUUGAUGAGUACCUCAAUCAGUUUGUGUAACCCUUCGCUGUUUCCAGCUGCAGCUUGCAGGAUCUUGGACUGUUGGUAAAUAAAUAAUUGGCUUGUUGCCAUCUUUGGUUUUAUAUGUAAAAAUUAUGGUUGUUGGCCUUACUUUCUUCUGGUUGUCCAUGGAAUUUGUUAGACCAUAUUAUGUUUGCUAUGUCAGUGAUCAAAUGAAGUAGACCAUGUACUUGAUUUGAGAGUAGUAGUUAUAAAGCCAUCAUGAUCAGGUGGGUGCGUGGGUUGGGCUUCUAUUAGGGUGCGUGUGUUGGGGGGCUUCAGGGGCUUGUGAUAUGGGUUCGACAGCCCCUAACGGGCAGUCAUUAUAAAAAUGAUUAUAG